CGCAGAGAACCUUAGGUUGUAUCAUGCUUGAAGUUAUGACUUCAUUCGGUUAUUUCAUCAAAGUUGACUCUAUCCAGUUAUCUUGCCAAGCUAUGACUUCGGCUAUUAUGUUAUUUUUCAACAUCGUUAUUACGCAGUUAAAAAAUAAGGGGGACAACCAAGGGAUGAACUCAAAGCAAGAAACAAGAAAUUAAAGAGCUGAGAUGAAAAGAAAUAGACUUUCAUUCAAUAGAAGUAUUACAAAAAAUACAAGGCCGAGGUCGGAGUGCUACUAAACACUUCACCUCGGCCACCCCCUCGAAGCAUAUGAGCCUAGACCCCCGUCUCGGCUCCAUUCCCGGUUUUGGCUCCCUCCUGGGCAGCCUCCUCUUCGGCCUCUUUUCCGCCGGGGUGUUCAUCUCCAGGCUCUUUUCCGAGGUCCCCUCCGACUUCGUCCCCCCCGGCCUCGUUUCCCUCAGCUUCCUCUACUUCCACGUCCUCGAACACGUCGUCGAGUUCGGACAGCCACUUGUUGAACUCGACCUGGACUUCGGCCAAGUUCCUUCCCGCCUGAAUGCCUUCGGCCAUCCGAUCACAUAACUCCUUUGAGUCUUCAUUGUAACUGGCAUGAUUUUUCAAAGACUCCAAGGUUUCGGGGGAGAGGUGAGUUGCGGCCUCGUCAAUGGCCGAUGUGAAGCCAAACAUGAAGUUAGGCGUAAGCAGUUGGCCGAGGUCCUUGAUGAAGGCAUCGGACCUCCGAAACGCGUCCACAGCCGAGGCUCCAGCACCCUCGAGAGCUUGUGCGUGGGACUUCUUCACUUCGUCCCCCCUUUUCUGUUCCUCCUCGAGGGCUGAUCUAAGACUAUUCAUAGUAGCCUCAGCAUCCUCACCCUUAGCUUCAGCCUCUUGAAGUUGCCUCUGAAGCUCCGACUUCUCGGAUUCGGACACCGCCAGUUGUUUCUCCAACUUGGAGAUCUGAGUCUGCAGCUUGCCGGUGUCCUGCUCCUCGACUAGAGCACAGUAUCUGUGAGCCAUCUCGGCCGCAAAAGCUGAGUUGGAAGCCGUGGUCACCAUCAGACUUUGAACCAACUCGGCCGGGCUCAGUUUUUUCAUGAACUCCAAAUCCCUUGGCAGAGUGGAGUGCAUUACUAGCUCCUGUGCAACCCGAGGAUGCUGGCACCGGUCGUUGACCGAAACUUUCCAGUUCGGACACCAAUGAUUGCCGGAGUGCGUCUUCUCCUCCCCGGGAAACACUGGGGGGCUAUGGAAACGAUUCCAUAGCGAAGUCCCCGAGACUGGAUUGGCCGGGGCCUUCAGCUGCUUGCCUCGGCCCUGAGGAGGUGGGAGUGCCGUAACGACUCCGAGAGGCACUCUCUCUGGCACGGACGAAGUGGACCCAGUAGCCGCGGUGGCCGAGCUGCUCUGGCCGACCUUGGUGGGAGUGCUUGUAGCCGCCGGGGUCUUGGCAGCCUGUCCCUGUGCUUUCUUCUUCUUUGGCGGAAGUGCCGAUGUCUCGUCAGUACUCUUCCUCUUCGACCUCUUGGCCACUUCGGACGAGCUGGAGACGACGAUAUCGGACAACUUGACCACUGCACAAGAAGUAAAUAUUAUCAUAUGCCUUAGCCGAAGUGAAAAGAAAAGCCAUGAAAGAAAAUUACGAGGUUUCUCAAGUUUAAUGGAAAAGAAGGGGGUCUUGGUAGUGUUGAUCACGGCUCGACUUAUCCCCCCAUCCACGAGCACGGCUUCGGGGUAGUCAUGGCUGAACAGCCGAAGUCCCGACUUCAUCAGCUUCUGGAAGGACUCUUCUUCGGCAUCCCCGGCAGAGGGGUUGGCCUUCGCCUUAAUUAGCCUCCACCAAAAAUCCCUCGGGAAGUCCACUCCGGACACGAAAAAGUAGUCGCGCUUCCAGUUCUUGAUCGAGCUGGGAGCACCGAUCACCAACUUCGGGAUGGCAUUGUUCCGGUUGCCAACAUAAAACCAUCCCUUAUCCGUCGCGUGCGCCUUGAGGGUGUAGCAUCGGCGGAAGAGAUCGACGGAGGGAGUCACCUCCUGAUGUCGGCACAGCAUCUCAAACCCCACAAUGAUGCGGAUCGCAUUCGGGGUGAGCUGGGUGAUUCUCACCUGGAAGUGACGAAGUAAGUCCCGGAGGAAUCUCGACGUCGGCAUUCUCAGCCCGGCCUCCAGCUGUUAAACGUAGACGGCCACCAUGCCAAAGGGGGGCUCCGCGGCUGUGUCACCCACCUCGGGCGGCAAAAUUUCGUACCAAGGCCGGAAGGGGUACUUGUCUACCACCUUCAUGGCCCUAUCUCUUCCUACGCGACUCCUAAACUUCGGCAUCUGGCCGAAGUCGAUGUCGGUUACGUCCACUGGAGCAACUGGCUCCGAUACACCCUCGUCAUGGGGUAUCUCGGUGCCGAGCUCGGUAUUGUACUCCACCUCGGAGCCGCCUUCGCUGAUCUCGGACGAUUCCAGUUCCGAGGCUGUCUCUCCGGCUCUCACCUCGGUCGAUCCUUCCUCGGAACUCUGUGCCGACCCCUCCGAACUGGACGUCGUCGCUUCUUCCUCAGAAUCCGCCCUCACCUCGGUCUGGUAGCUCGGGGUCACGGUUUCUUUAUGGGUUUUCGCGGUUUUAGCCAUGAGUGAAAGACGAGAUAAGAAAGAAAAAGGGAUACUUACUAUUGACUACGAUAUCGGACGCAGUGAAGACUUCGGCAAGGAUCUCGGCUGAUGGAACUGACCUCGGCUACGCUCGUGAAUUAUACAAGUAUUGGAUGAAAGUGAAAGGUGUGGGAAAUGCGGUGAGGGGGCCCCCCAUUUAUAGGGGUUCUUGGGAACCCGAAGAGGCGGCAAGAAUACGGAAGGGCGGCAACGAUCCAAAUUCCAGAUACUUUGUGUCUGCCCUUCUGUCUCUCCCUCUCUCCUCAUUAAUGCCCUGUCCUUUCGGCUGACACUCUGCACGAAACGUCCCACUACUUCACGACGUGACGGUUACGUGCCGACUCACUCUCCAGGUCCCUUCAACUGACAUGCCCACGUGUCACGUCCCCGCAUCUUCCGGAGCAGGCUCGGGACCCCGACUCUUCACGACUUCGGCAGAAGGAAGCCUCGGCACCUCCCUUGCUCGGAGCAUCCGAGGCUUGGGGGGCUUAUUGAGGAUGCUCACCUCGGCCAUCCCGAGUGGCCGAGGUGAACUCACCUCGUCCCUCAUCGGAGCUCAUCCCUGUCUUGAGCACAACCCCAGAGCUCGGCUUCAUCCCUAGUCCACCGUGUAGGUGACCUCGGCACAUCCACCUCGGCUGCACGCUGAUGAUGUCAACCCACCUGACAUCAUCCAGGACCAGCACUUUAUCUGAAAAGCACUGGAGGCACUUAAUGGCACCUGCACCAUAUCCUCCGUCAUCACUCCCAGGCGGCUACAGUGUUAGAGUCAGACCUCCUGACAGGAGACAGAGCCGUAAUGCCAGAGAGUGGGUCCCGCUAGCAUGAGCCUUCCGUCUUGACCACCUCUCUUCUAUAAAUACCUCACUCACACUCCCAACAAGUAAGCAGACACUGUUCAUUAACUCAUUCUCAUUAUUCUCGUUCUCAUACUAACUUGAUCGUCGGAGUGAUACCAGGGGAGAAGCCCCGCCACUCACUUCGGACAAGGAGGCUCAAUUCGGACACAGGAGUUCACCUCACUUCAUCUCAGAGAGGACUGAUCCAGGUCGGUCUAGUUACCAACCAAAAAUCACCUCCUCACUGUGGUACAAUUGUCUUGUUUGAUUAAUCUUCAUUCAAGUGUUUUCCUUGACAACGUCUAUUCACACUUACCAAUCUAUGUGCAGGUUCAUUCAACAUAGCUUAGAAAAUAGUGAAAUCUUUUAGUGAAGACAUCAGAAGCAGUGUAUUGGCUACUAUGACAGAAUGGGACAUGAACAAAUGACCAUCUCUUCGCAGUAAUGGCGACACCUAUAACAGCAUAUUUGGUCUACUUAUGCUAUAUAUAUAUUUAAGGAAGCGAAAACCAAAGAAAAGAAGAGUUUUUUAUGUAUACUACUAAAGAAUUUUUAGACUAAGAAUAUUAUGUAUACAUGUGCCUUUAUGUGCAUAUUUUUUUUUGUUGCAUCUAUGCGUUUAUUAAAGCACAGAAAAUAUGGGCCUGUUUGGAAGCCAGGUUUUUGGACAAGUUUUUUACCUACUAGUUUUUUAACAACUUUUGCUACAAGAAUCCCAAAAAACUUCUCAGAGUUUUUUACCUACACACUUAAAAUAUCCAAAACACACAAAAAAAAAUUCCUUCCCCUUUUUUUUUUCUUCUUCCUCCCCCACCCCAACCCACCACCACCUUCGUCGGCGGCCACCACCUCCACCGCCGGUUCCGGCGCCGAUCACCUCUUCCGGUGUCGGUUUUCUUCUUUUUUUUUUGCCCUUUUUCCCUCUCCCCCUCUUCCUCUCCUGCCAUCCUCCCCUCUGUCUUUUUUUUUUCUCUCUGCGUCUCCCCCACCACUCUUCCCCUUCCCCUCUGGCCAAUCUGGUUGCUAGACCAGAUCGCACGAGGGAGAGUGAGGGUGGCGGGGGAAGGAGAGGAGGGGGGAGAAGGAAAAUUGCCAAAAAAAAAAAAUUUCAUUUCGCUGCUUCAUCCGUUGGCAAGAGCAAGGGGAGGAGACGGGAGGAGAGGGAGAGGGAAAAUGUGAAAAAAGAAAGGGGCAAAGGGAAGGUGAGAAGCGGGAAGAGGAACAGGGGAGGGGGAAGGGGUAGAGAGAGUGGCGGGAAAGAGAGAGAAGGGGUAGAAGGAGUGGUGGGGCAGAGGGGAGGAAAGGGAUGGUGGGCAUAGGAGGUGGCGGGGGAGGGAGUGGGAGGGGUGGCAACCCAAGGGGUGGCAGGCAGGGGGAGGAAUGGGGAAGGGAGUGGGAGGGGAUGACGGGGGAGAGGGUAGGAAAGGGGUGGCGGGGGAGGGAGAGGAGAAAAGAAAAAAAAAAAGAAGAAAGGUGGUGUUGGCGGAGGUGCUGGAGGUGGGAGGUAGAGGUAACGGGGAAGGGGGAGGGGGAAGGAAGAAGAAGAAGAAAAAGAAGAGAUGAAAGAAAAGAAAAAGGAAAGAAAGAAAAAGAAAGAAAAAAAGAAAAGGAAAAAAAAUUUCACCUCACAAAUACUUCUACAAAAUUUUUCAUAUUAUAAAAACUUCUAUAAAAAAGUUUUUCACUUUAUAAAAACUUCUACAAAAAUUUUUCAAAAACUUUUACAGUGCACUACAGUAAAGUUUUAGACAAACUCCCAAAAAACUCAGGUUCCAAACAAGCCUAUAACUGAAGAAAGAGUAGAUAGAACAUUUUUAGUUGGAGCAGUCCAGCCACCGGGAGUUUCAAUCUAACCGAUUUUGAAUUCCUGUUUUCCUUUAGAGGUGCAAAUAGUUCUUUUAUAAUGUUUAUACUUGUCACUUGUAAGUGAGUAUAAAUUGUACAUAGAAUUAUGCAAAACAAAGUCUUCAAAAAUAUGGUAAAGAUUUUUUAUGUAGCCAAAGAAUUAAUCAACAAAGUGUUCAUGCACAAAUUUGCCACCAAGUUUUUCUUCUAGCAUAAAGAAUAUACUAUUCGGUUGUUCUGUUCUAAGAUUAAAAUCCAUUGGAAAGCAUAUAACUAGGGUGGGCUUAAGCAAUAACUGAACACGUUAAUGCUUAUUUAUUCAACAACUCCUAGUUGAACAAAGUGGUAUUUCCAUAUUUGUUGCGUAUUAUGAUUUUGAAAUUCUAUUUUAAUGAAUUUGGAUACAAAAUUUUUUUUAACUAUAAGUUUACUUGGUCACCACCACAUUCUACAGUCCUCACCCUAGAAUUAGAAUUAUCCUUGUUAGAGGAGUGAUUAGGCGGGGACCUAGAGUUUGUUGGUUCCCUAAUUGAAGUAACCCUUAUUGCCUUAUCAUCGUCAUCUCCAUCUCCAAAUUCUACAAUGCCACUAAGAGUUGCUGCUGGAAUUGGAGUUGAUUGCCACUAAGAGUUGUUGCUACAAUUGGAGUUGCCUUGAGGGGAGUCACUGUAGUGUCUAGCAAACUCCUUUCUUCUUGAGUCUGAUGCGACCAAGAGCUUGUUUGUUCCCUAAUUGAAGUACCCGUCAUUGUUUCCUUAUGAAUCACUUUCAUGCUAGAAUUGACACUUUUUUGAUUUCAAGAAUUUGUUUAGUUAAGGAAUCAUCAUCACAAGAGGAUGACUCGGAAGGGGGAAGGGAUGACUCAGGAGGCUUGUCCAUGAUUGAGGUUCUUGGCAGAUGGAGAUAUUGGUUCGGAGAAAUGCAGAUGGAGAUUCUCGGGUUCUUGGUGGAUGGAAAUUUUGGUUUCAACAAACGCAGAAGGAGAGGAGAAUCUUGGUUUCAAGAAAUGCACAAGGAGAGGAGAAUAUUGAUUUUUUGGUAUUGAACGUUUGAAGAAUGGAUCAAAAUAGAAGUGCUUAUAUAGGUUUGUAUUUCUGGUUGUGACCGUUGAUUAUUUAAAAAAAUGAUAUUGGGUUGUCUUUCGUGGUUUCGAGAUUUGUUAUGGGAGGCAUAAUGAUAGGUAGAAUGAUGUCAUCUUAGUCUAUCUAAUUAUUUGUUACUAUGCUGAAAUUGCAGUGUUUUGCAAUUAGGGUUUUGAUAUUGCAAUAUUUUGGCAAACAAAAUAAAAUAUGGGCAAAUUCGUCAUUGAUGCGUAGCAAUUUACAUAACAAGAAAUAGAGUAUCGAGUACACCAUACUAAUAUUCUCUGAUAUACUUGAUUAAUUCAAAGUCUAAAAUCCCUGACCUUCAAUUGCGUUGACACUAGCUUUAAUUUAGCCGAGUGACGAUUUCGCAAAAAUAGCCUUAGCCCUACUAAUAUCUUUUCUCAACAUAAGUGUAUAAGGAAGGAACAGUCCUAUGCUAUUUUUUUUUUUUUUUUGUUUCUAAAAAUCAGAGUAGGGUCUAAGAUGACGAACAGAGGACUGAAGUUACAGAGUGGUGAACUUCAGUUAUGCGACCUGUGCGAUGUAUAUUUUUUUUAAACGCUGAUUUUUACCAAAUUACAUUUGCCUAAUAUAAUUAAGAUGUCAUUAUUACUACACAAUGAUACAUAUACUAAUAUUAAUAAAAAUUCAUCAAUGCAUAAUAUAAAUCUGAUUAUGUCUUGUACUAUUUUUCUUUACAGCCUCAAUUAACUCUUUGUACGAGUGUUUCUAGACCAAAUAAAUUUCAAAACCCUCCAAAUAAUUUCUUAAGAAUAACACCUUAUUUACUAACCAUAUGCACUAAUCCAAAUUAACUUUAGAAAAAAAAAAUUCUCAAAUGCACAUUAACGUUGAAUAAACACUAAUACCUGAUAAAAAAAAAAAAAAAAACUCCAACUCAUAAGUUAAUCCAGCUAACUGUAAUAAUAAAAAAACACCAAAAAGAGAAACAAAAAAAUUUCCAGCUUUAAACUGCCGCAAUAAUAUAAUAAUCUUAUAGUUCAAUGGCAUGAUAUGAUCUUAUAAUUUAGUGAUACUGUACAAUAACCUCUUUCAAUUUCAUGAAAUGACACUGGUGAGCUCGAGAUAUACUAUUACAAAUAUAUUAGUUCCUCUCAUUACAUUUGUUUCAUACAUGUGUAAAAAAAAACCCCAAAAAAAAUGAAAAAAAGCAUAGCAACUACAUUUUUGGAAGUCAUAAUUAAUAUUAUUGAAUCUACCAAUAUCAAGAAGCAAAAGCGAAUCAAAGCAAGAUGGCAACGAACACUCUUGAUGAUCCUGUUACACUUCCUUUUUCUUCUACUCAGCAGCUAAAGAUGGCCUAAAGCUAACCAUUUAUUCACCGUCAAGGAUACUUAAGAAUGCCAAAAAUAGAUUAACGAUGUCAGAAUAAAGUGCAGUUGCAGCUAGGAGGUAUUCAUCAUAGUCAAAACGCUUGAUCAGGUUGUCAGUGUCGUAUAUCAGGAAACCACUAAACACCAGCGCUGCUGCAGAUCCCGCUAUCAGUGACCCUAAUCUUCCCAUGGGAAAGAGGAUCUGUUUAUCCACAAAAUGAAAAACAAAAUGUCAAACCAGUCCAGGAACUUGCUUAUGAUGCAGACAAUAACUUUGUUAUAGACAUCUAGUGCGUGGAAGGAGAUAGAAGUUUAGGGUUUAUUCAAUUUUAUUUUUUUUAAUGUAUUUGAAAUUGUGUGUUUUUGAAGUUUUGUUUUUUUUUGUUUUUGUUUUGGAAUUUGUUAGUGUAGAUCCCACAAACAAAAAAGUUCGUGAGAAAAACAGCAAAUCCAAACGGAACUCUUAGCUCUACCCUAAGGUGAUGUACCCAUUUGUCUAUCUAAUGCAAAUAAAUCCUUAAUUUGACUUGUGAAUUAUGUUGUUUAAUUAUUUAAAUUCAUGCCAUGUAGAUGUAGAGAUGGUCAUCAAGGAAAAUAUCAAAAACUAUAUAUGUACUCUACUCUUUUUUCUUUUCUUUUUUUUUCAUCAAAAACUACCGUAUUGUGGUGAAUUUAAGCUCUUUCAUGGAUUAUACAUUCAUAGGCAUAUUUUCCAAUUGCAUUAUAUUGUACUCUUGGUAGAAUCUACGCAUGGAGUUUUAAAUAGUGUUUAACAUAUGCUUAAAUAAACCGAUUGAUUAGUUAGGGAUAAUAUUAUACCAAUUACAUUACGUAUAAGCUAAGUGAAACAGAAAUAAAUCAGAAACAUGAAGAGACUAGUGUAACAUACUCGAAUAACACUAAAAGCCAUGAGCACCAGAAGGGCGCAGAGUAAGAAUGGCCCCAAAAAGCUAAAAUCCUGGCCUCUUUUUGCUGCCCAGAAUGUGUAGAGGGUAAGACCAGCAGUCACCAGCACCGUUAGAGCAGCAGCUUGCAAGACAAUUUCACCUAUAGCCACAGCUCAGUUAGCAAAAAUUUGGCCUUCCUGCUUAAACUAUAUUAAUAAGAACUGUUUAACCUCUUAACCUCAAUUAACCUCAUUGAAACUUCAUAAACCAACAUAAGAAAGUGCUAUACUCGGAUGUUACUAAGCUUUGAUGAUUUAUUUAUACUGCGGUUCUGGCAAAGGUAAAAUACAAAGGAAAUUAAUUAGUGGGUUUAGUUUUGCAUUAAUUACCUCUUCUAUAGGCGCAAGCCACUCCAAUCAUGAAUGACAUGGACAGGGUGAAGAGAAGCGCUAACACGUAGUUCCAUGGAUGUUUAUUGCCAAAGCAGCUCAUCAACAAAGAUGCUGCAGAAGUAGUAUUAGUAUGAAAAACAUAUUAUUAAUAACAACGAAUGCAAGAAUUAAAUAGAAGUAUAAAUAUGUGUAAAAGCUCAAACAGAUAAGCACCCUCUUAUUGGUUGAUUGUAGGAUAUUUUUACAAGAAAAGUUUUAGUUAAUUAAAUCAUCUUGUUAGCUUAAAAACAGGAAGGGUUAUUGGCCUUGUUUUCAAAUAAAGCAAAAUAAAAUAAAUUGCAAUGUGAAGUCAUUGAAGGUAUUGAGAGGAGGAGAGAAGCCUACGUCAUAAUGUGGCUUUUGAUAAUGAUGAUAAUAAUAAUAAGAAGACUAAAAUGUGUAAUAAUUAAUUAAAAACACUAAAAUCUUGGGCUGGUCCGACCAUCCUUUUUUAGGAGGUUACAACUUACACAUAAAAAUAUGCGCAAAUUGUGGCUGACAUUGCGAUUAAAAUCUUGGAGACGCUUUUGAAAACCAAAUAUUAAGGUUCAAGUUUGGAGGAAAAACAAUUCUAAUUAAGAACCAUCCGAUCAAGAAACUAAAAAGAUGAAAAGUACAAAAAUUUUAAGAGAAUAAGAAUGUAGCUAGGGAGGUAGAAUGAAGUUUACAUAUGAGGGUGAGAAUGCAAGCCACAAGGACGAAGACCCAGCCAAGCGGAUUUGCUAUCAGAAAAUGUUUGAUGGUAGGGUUGAAAAACAUCACCAUCCCCACAGCAAAGCUGCAAAGCAAUUGCAGGCAUAAAAGCACGUAAACUUUCCUGAUAAAAGCCCAUCUCAUCUGUGGAUUUUCCAUCAUCCCCGGAUAGAGUUGGCCAUUGUUGGCAUUUUCAACAUCUCCACCUUUUCUUGAAAAUCCUCCCAUUUGAAUUUGCCUUGGAGGAAAAAAAAUCCAAUGAAAAAUUGACCUCUUUUGUUGUUUUUUUCUUCUUUCUUUGGGUCUAACUGAGAGGUUUAUUUACAUAAACACACACAUAUAUAUCAACCCAACCAAAAAGAGUUGAUAUAUACAAAAUGCAUGCACAAAAUGACUUUAAUGGCUAGGUGUAGAAUUGGGAUGCAACAGUUGAGUUUUGAAAGAUGUAUUUUGUCUGGCAAGGAAGAGGGAGAGCUGAAAGAAUAUGAUGGUUCUUUUGGAUUCUUGAAAGAUGUAAAAGAAUGCGAAGGAGGGAAGGUUGAAAUUCUCUAUAUAUACUCCGAUAAAUUAGGAAAAUUGUUUGACGCUGGAGUACAUAUGGAUUGGUGGUUUUUCUAGAACCAGAAAAACUCACCGCAAACAGUACCCCCAUUUUUUGCCGAAACCCCAACAACCAUGGCUGAUUGCACACCCUCUAAUUUUCAGAGCAUUUUUAGUUUAAUGAUUCUUUAGUUAAAAACUUCCUAGAUUUGUAAAAUUAUUAAAUGAUUCUUUAGUUACAAUUCUUUCAACUAUUUUUUCUUGCAAGAAUUUUCAUAUAUGGGCAAAUGUUUUUUGUGUGGGAAAAAAAAGAAUUUAAUGAAGCAUUAUGGAAGUCGUUUUGCAUCAUGUAAGAGCAUAUAUUUAGGAGUAUAUUUUAAAAAUAAAAAUAACAAUAGAGUUUUUUUUGGGUGUUUUUGUGUUUUGGGGGGGGGGGGGGGGGAAGGGGUUGCUAAACUUUAUAGGUGCUUUCAUGUAUUUGAAUGGUGGAAAAUGGAAUCCUAGUUAAGCCAAAGGUUAUCCUGCAAAAUCAUUUUUUUUUUUGGUGUGGUUACACUAUGCAUUUUAAACAUUGCCAGAAAACUGAUUUGCGCAAUUUGGAAAACAAUCUAGAAUUAAAUUAAAGUUGCUUCUCAUUCUUGUGGCUAAAAGAGAGAGAGAGGGAGGAAGAUAAAAAAAAAAAAAAAAAAGACACAUCUAAAUAACUAUCAAUUAAUGCAACAAAGCAUACAAGACUUGAGAAUUUUCUCAAUACUCCAUAGAUGGAGUAGCUUUUAAGCAUGAUGUAAAACAUCCUUGACUCGAGGGUUCAAAAAAAUAUCUAGUACACCAUAAAAAGUAGGGUAGAGGUUUCUUGGUUUCCCACACAAGUGAAAAAGACACUAGAAAACAUAGAAUGUGGGGCUAUAAAGGCCACAGAAAAGUGGACUUAUCCCCCAGUAGUGAGGACCAUAUAGUAGCGCACUUUGACUCUUUGAGAGCAAGGGAAGAAGGAAACCAGAAGUUCAGAGAACUUGACCGACAGUCAUGGCUUCUGUGUCUUCCCCGGCAAUCUCUACUUCUACAAAUGUGUUUGAAUAUGGAAAUUUCGCCACUGAGUUGAUAAAAGUUGAACAAGGGCCCUGCUGGAGAAAAGCUGCUGAACAAACUUUACCUCCUCCAAAGCCACUCUUAAUUGGGACACCAUCAGAAGCUGGAGUGUUCCCUGUUCUGCUGUUCCUUCAUGGCUAUCUUUUUCUCAACUCUUUCUAUUCCGAGCUUGUUCAACAUAUUGCUUCUCAUGGAUUCAUCGUGGUUGCCCCACAGGUCAUUCAGUCUCAACUGUAUCUAGCUCGUCCCGUUUUACACUAAUUAGUGAAUGAUUAAAUGCUGAGUAUAGUGCUAUUUCACCCAUUUGUUCACAUUCAGAUUCCAAUUAAAUUUUGCAUUCAGAAUAUGCUUUAAACAUACUGUUGUAAGUGGUAACUUCGAAUCUGGCUGUUGGCACUUUGUAAUUCACAUCUUGCUCAUCAGAUAUAUGUAAAAUUGGCUUGCUCUGUGUCUGCCAUCUGCACAAAAAUGUGCCGGUCCAUUUGAUUGGCUGUACAGAUAUUUGGAAGUUGUUAUACGAACAAUUUUGCAUGUUUCUUGACCUGAUCUUUUUCAGGGAUAGGUAAAUAAUGAAAAAGAAUAUCAUUUUCCGAGGUAAGGCCAUGAGGUUUAAUGCCAUUUUCUCUUGCAUAUUCUUGUUCAGUGUGCUGUCCAUGAAUUCGGAUAUUCUUUUUUCUUUUUUGGGUCAACCUCAAUUUAAAAUUCUGUUCAGCUCAUGUUUUGAAUCCAGAACCUAUAAAGAUUACAGAAGUACAGGUUUUUAUUUUUCUUUUAAAAAAGGUGAUGCAGUCAAAGGAAACAUUAUUAAUGAGCUUUGUGAAGCUUUACAGAACUGUAAUAUCUGUUAGUACAGCUCAAUCUAGUAAUAUCUGGAUUGUUCUAGUAGUGGUUCAAAAUUCUUAGCACUUUAGGUCUGUUCUUAUAACUGUUGAAUGUUCAAGAUUGAACAAUAAAACUCCCUGUACUAAUCACAAAUGGCCCCAAUAUGAAAUUGCUGUUUGUUUGGCUGACAUUUUCCUGCAUCCACCUUGUUCCAGUUAUAUUGUGUGGCAGGACCUGAUUCAACCAAAGAAAUCGAGUCCGCUGCUGCAAUAACAAACUGGUUUUCAGAAGGACUACAGGCUUGCCUUCCAUCGCAUGUUAGGCCGAACUUAUCAAAGCUGGCGCUAUCCGGCCAUAGUCGCGGAGGCAAAGUGGCUUUUGCAGUGGCUCUGGGAAAGGCAAUCACUUCAUUAAAGUUCUCAGCGUUGGUAGGAGUUGAUCCUGUUGAUGGAAUGGACAAAGGGAAACAAACGCCCCCGCCAAUUCUCACUUACAUUCCUCAUUCCUUCAAUAUUGAUAUGGCUGUAUUAGUCAUCGGAUCAGGCUUAGGUGAAGUAAAAAGGAACCCGCUGUUUCCACCUUGUGCUCCAAAAGGAGUGAAUCAUGAGGACUUCUUCAAUGAAUGUCAAAAGCCGGCAUAUCACUUUGUUGCCAAGGACUAUGGCCAUGUUGAUAUGCUGAAUGAUGACACAACUGGGAUUCGAGGAAAGACCACAUAUUGUUUGUGUAAGAAUGGUGUAUCCAGAGAACCCAUGAGGAGAUUUGUUGCAGGAAUUAGUGUUGCAUUCUUGAGAGCUUAUUUGGAAGAAAAUUCCAACGACUUGGAGGCCAUUAAGGAUGGACACUUAGUAGCACCUGUGGUGCUUCAAAAAGCUGAUUUUCUAUUAUAAAUUGUGUGAUUUAGUUGCCUAAUAAAAGGAAUCAUCCCAUUUGUUAGCAGAAAUUUUACUAAAGAAUGGAGCAACAGCUUCAAAUCUAGUAUUCCUUUUGAUGGAUGGUGCCUACAUUACAUAUAUAUAAUAGCAACAAAAACAAAUGUUCUGUGUUACACUACACGAUGCUUAUUAUUUCUACUCUCUCUCUCUCUCUCUCUCUCUCUCUCUCGUGAUAGCUGUUUCCUUUUAUUGAGGAAAGAAAAUUUAUCCCUCAAAAAUAGAAAAAUCAUUUUAGGACAUUUCAAGAUGGCAAAAGCAUCAAACAACUCGCUGUCGGGCCUAUCAAAAGAAAGUAAUUCGGUCCAUCAGAAACCAACGCAAUAUUGGGCCGUCGCAAGAAUGCAUCCAAGAAAGAGAACACGGGCAAAAACAGGCUGAAGCCCAUAGCCUGUAUGCGUUUCAUAAUUUUCAUUUUUUCUCGACAUCUCUAUUCUCUCCCCGUUAUUUCUCCCGGCGGACACCGGACCGAGGUAUGCCCUCCCGACGAUCAUGAUCCUCCUUUUCUUUAUUAUAUUUUGGGUUCUUUUUAAUCUAUCAUGCUUUUGCAUGGCAUCUACUUUCGUUUAUUUUUUGUAAAUUGGCUGUGCUUAACUUGAUUGAUGUGGAAUCACUCGAACUGGAAAUAUGUUGGAUUGGAUUUCACUGUAAUUUGAUAGAAAAAGAAUCUACCUUUUAUUGCUGCUUAUCUUACGUUCGAUAAAAUGCCUCAAUUAUAAGAAAGAGUGUUGCUGGCUGACUAUUAUAGAGGCUUGGAGAUCACUCCAUGUGAUAUGUGUGUGUUACAAGCAGCGCACCGGCUAUUAUGGCUAGCUCUGGCCGGAGAAGAGGAAGAACCAGAAUCACAGCCGCAGCAUCCUGUUUAGUUGAAGAAGAUGACUUUUUAAAAUUGCAGUUUUAGUCCUCUAGCUUUUCCUUCUUUUCUGUUUUGACCUCUCCCCUUGUUUUUGUAGCCUAUUGAUUUGUCCCUAGUUGUUUGCUUGAAAAGUUUUCAAUUAUGUCUCUAGGUUUGUUAACUCAAUUAUUUAGUUUAGGUGGGUUUUCGAUUGGUCAAAUUAACUCAGAACUGGCUUUAAUUCGGUUGCUCACCCUUUUAGAACUCGUGUGAGCCCCAUGUGGUACAUAGGCAUACCGCAAUUUUGUUAUUUCUUUAGUUUAUUUGCUUUCUACUAUAUUGUUGUAGAAUGUGAUUUAGGUAUGUGCAAUUCAGUAAGUUUUCUGACAGAAAAGAAACUUCAAAGUAGAUGUUCAAUGACUUUAUGGUCACUGCAGCUGUUGCUGCAUGUCUUCAAUUGGAUAAUCUUGACCUAACUGCACAUUAAAAUGUUGAAAUUUACAGAUUUUCUUCUUCGAUUUGCAGAUAUAUAGCCUUUUUUACCACUAUUCAGUUUGAUUAGUGUCUUAAAGACCGAGGCAAUUGGAAGUGGAGCUCUUCAAUUUCAUCUGGUCAUGAAAAUGUAUGUUGCUAGUCAUCAAAUUUAGUUAUGAUUCUAAAUUUCGUUGUAGUCUUGAAACCGAAGUAAUCCUCUUGUUUGUCUUCUUUAUAGAUCUUUGAGACUUGUAGUUGAAAAACAUUCUGUUGUUAGAUUUCUUUGGGUGAUCUUGUUUGCUUAAGGUUAUGUGCUUUGCAGACUUCAAGAAUAUGCAGGUGCACUUACUAAUUUUGAAGUUCUUGACUUUCUAAGAUCAAGAGGUGCUGGUAAAGAUCCCACACGACUUAUUGCUGGCAUAGCACCAUCUGAAUACAAGGUUGGAGUGUUUAUCUCAUCUAAAAGUAUUUGAUGAUUUUCUCUCAUGGAAAGCUAACAUAAUUGAGAUUCUCAUAUGCUGAUCUUUUAAUGGCUUGCUGCAGGUAUAUGAUUAUCUUGAACAAACAGCAGCCUCAACACAAACAAGAGAUAUAGCAAUUGAGUUUGUACAGAAAUGCAAGGAAUAUAACCUUGCAAAAGCUGAGAUUCUCAACAUCCUCAACAUUCGGCCAUCUUGUGAGGCUGCCUUGUACCCGGUAACUUACAGCAAAAUGCUUAAAUUAAUAUUAUUGCUGAAUGAGUGUACCAUGAUACUAUAUUGAACAAUUUCCUCUGAUUCUUCAUGCGUUGUAUGUCCAAAGUACUUGCCUCCUUUGAAGCAUUUAAAUUUACAUUUGACAGAGCUUUAUAUGCUUUAUCUUUCAGUUGAAUGAUGUGAAUCCUUUAGUGGUUGGAACUGGGGCUCGGUUGAGAGAUGAAUCUGCUAAGUUUUGUAGAAGAGGCCAAAAUACCUUAUUUUUCUGUUACGUUGUUGUUUUAUGCAAGAAUUGAUCUUAACAUGAUUUCUUCUGCUAAGUUUUGUAGAAGAGGCCGAAAUACCUUAUUUUUCUGUUAUGUUGUUGUUUUAUGCAAGAAUUGAUCUUAACAUGAUUUCUUCUGAAUUUAAGUAGAAGCACGUUUUGCAGCUCCAGUUGGUGCCAUUAUUUUCUUUUCAAGCAGUUCUCAUGCAUAUGAUUUUAUAAGAUUUCUUCGGCAGAAUUAGCAUUCUCUUCUAUUUUUUUUUUUUUGGGGGGGGAGGGAGGGGGUUACAUUGGAGGGCCAAAGGCCCGUUAUCUAGAGACUAAUCUGGGGACUGAGACUGCUUGUACAUGUUGGCCUAAAAACUUCCUAAGAGUAUGUGGAGGUUCCCUGAGAGUAGUUAACCCCAGAGCUGGACUCCUACCCAUCUUAGCUAGACAAUGCGCACACUCGCAUUCUCUUCUACUCUCUAGCUGGAGGAGUUAUCAUUGCAGUAUUCAGUUAUUUCUUCUUCCUGUGAUCUUAUUUCACGUUUGGGGGAAAUAGAACUAUGGUAGAAUAUGCAUUUUACGGGGAGAUUUGUUUUCAACUUGCCUCGUCUUCCUUUCAGCAUUGACCUCUCUAAAUUCUUUCAGUUUUUUGGUUGAAUUCCUGGAAUUGUGGUUUAUGUGUUUGUUUCUUCUCCCCUACCAGCGUAGCAAAAUGUUUGUGUCAAGGAAGCUUAGGUUCACUUAGAUACUUCAGGAUGUAAUGCUUGACAAGACAUGAAGCAAGAGUUGAAUUAUCUUCCAAUCUUUUGGAACCAUGUGUUACUUCAAAGCACCUAACAGGAAGCUGAAAUCAUGUUGUUGCUCUUCGUUUUAUUUAUGCAAUUAUGUUGUUGGUCAUCUUUCCUUGCAUGACGUUGUUAUUCUAUAGCAUGCCUAAUUUUUCCUAAAUUUUAUUCUCAGUAACUCAGUGAAUUUUUUCAUUCCACUAUACGCAGAUCAUAGAGGAUUGGGACAUACGUUUUUCAGUUGAGGAAGGAAAAGAGGAGGAAGAACUAGGGUUGCUAAAGACAAUCUGUCAGGUUUUGCCGCCUCCUCCAAGUGUAAUGGAAUCUGAUGAAGGGAUUGGUGUGGAAGAAGAAGAUAAUCCAGAUGAGCAACAAAAGAAGGCUAUGGAAUAGAUGCUUCUUCAUAUAAUUAGAAUGUUAGCUAGGUGAACUCGGGAUUAGGAUCUUAUAUCUAUUUUAUGAAAUGGUUUUCACAGAUAAAAGAAAACCCAGAAAAGGGAUGACUACCUGGAAAGAGGAUGAUCCAACAAUUAUUCAUUCGCACGAACCAACCAACUUAUAUGUUUUUUGCUACAAACUUAUUAUUAGCUACUGAGCAAUCCAUUGCUAUGUGGACCUUGGUAAUGCGUCAAGUGUUUGGAUAUGUAAUUACUUGAAAUAAUAUUUUUACUUGCGGUACCAACACAAUUUGUAAGAAUCUUUUUAUUUUAAAUACAUCACAUCAUAAAAAGUGUUACAAUAAUUAUUUGAAAUAAUAUGCAAUCUAAGUGUAAAUUGUUACUCAGAGUAUUGAAAGUGAUAUUUGUGCUUCAAAUAUUAAUUUUUGAUCUCCAGCCUUUCAUUAGUGAAGGAGUAUGGAGUUUUGGAAGAUUAUUUUGGAGUGCAAAUAUAUCAUUUCUCCAUAAGAAAUUUCUACCCAAAUUUUAGAGAUAAGAUAACAAAGGAGAAAUUGAGUUGUUUUAAAAUAGAAUAAAUAGUUAAAAACCAUAUAACAUGGAAGAUCACAGCUUCUUUUACCGUACAAUCUCCUGACUUUAUUCUUAAUUGAACUUUUGUUUGAAUUCACUCGUUUUAUGAUGAGUUUGUCCAGCAGGUGCAGGUGCAGGUGCUGGUGCAGAAUAUGUUGCGGUUAAGAGGCUAAAUCAUCCCCACUUACUAUUUUCUAUGUUUAUGCGGUUGAUUCUUGGUUUAUAAGUCUUGCAUCGUGGUUGCAUUGGUUAUGGUCAAAGUUACUUAGGAAUUCAAGCUCAAGGGUGGUCUUGGGACAACAUUUGCUCCAUCUCCACCUUUUUAUCAAAGCCGUAAUCCCUAAAUUCUUGUGAAUUCUGAUGCUAAUCUUGACUAAUUUGUUUCGGAUUGCUGAGUAGUCAACAUUCUGCCCCCAAGUCCUUGUCCUGCAAUUCAGUAGACCUUUACCAGAGACGCUUAUUUUAUGCAGUGCUUUUGACAACCGUUUACAUCAACAGUUAUGCUUUACAUCUGUUAGGAUUGGAUGUUUUCCUAUGUUCCUCCACUCAGUCUUCUUGUGUAUUGUCAUUGUUGAUCAGUCCCUCGAGACAAUUACAAGUCUCUUUGUUUUAGCCAGUGUCCCUGUUCGUGCUGCAUCUAAACUGCUUAUCUCCCUCCCUGAAAAAUGGAAAACCCACAACAAUGCAUGCAUGGUCGCAUUAAAGGGAAUCUAAAUCCCUUGCAAUUUUGAACAACGUUAUGGAAUGAUUCUUUAUUUACGGUACUGUCUGAUCUUCAAUCCAAUAAUGAAGCUUUUGUCAAGGAAAGAAAAAGUUGGGGGCAGAAUAAUUGACAGAGUUGCACGAGGGGAGUGAUCUCUGUGUUGGUUAUGGCAAAUAGUCUGAGUUAAAAGCACAAGUUGCUUGUCCAGAUACUCCUUUGAGUCACAGGAAAUGCCAAACACUGCUGUCAAAUCAUACAUCACUUCAAAUCAUUUUGCCAUUCAUCUUUCUUUUCUUUUUAAGCAUUUGCAAAAGCUUCCCAUUUGCUAAAUUGAAAAGACUGAUGGGAAAUUUUUGUGCUUGUAGGAGCUGGGAAUGGGCAAAAAAACCGGGCUAGACCUCUAGGUUUCCUUACAAGAUUGAGGUUCAGCCUUCACCUCACACCUGCUCCUGCCAUUAUCAUCUGUCUCAUUUUUGUCUGAUCUCAUUCAUUCAGAUAAUAAAAUACUCCUCUGCUCAUCCAUGCUCAAUGGGAGUGAGUAGUUGAAAGUCUUCAGGAAGUGGUAAAUUAUGUCUAAUCUUGCAAAUGGAUGCAGUUGAAUUCCAUGCACCUCCAUCAAGUUGGUGCGUGAGAAAACAAAAUGGUCCCUCCAAACUGUCUUUUUUCUCAUGUUCUUAAGGACGCAGAGGAUUCUGGAUCUUUUUUGUAUGGUAGAGUCAACAGUUCACAAGCAUAUAAACAGCAGAAGGGAAAUUUAGGGAAUAGUCAUUUGGAUCUUUUCAGACACAACUUCUUGUGCAUGGAAUCUUGCAAUUGAUUGGAUGGUUCCAUUUGAGCGUUUUAUUUGAGAGCAUAAUCAAAUGAAAACUACUUGCUCAACAAAGUAAAAGGAUUUCAAGUUUUUGUUCGUCAAGAUUUUUAACAACUCCAAAAAAUGCUUACAAUUCGUCUCACUUUUGCAAUGUAUUUGUUGAUUUUUUUUUUUCAACGUGCCACACUUUACCAUACUGCAAUUCAGGUUACGUUUGGAUUAUGGGAUCUGAUGAUGGAUUUAAAAUCCUUACAAUACCUUCUUAAUUACAAAUCCAAAUACUUUUUAAAUAAGUCAAACAAGUUAGACUAAUUUGAAAGAACUUUGAAUCUGUCAUUAAAUCCCUCAAACAAAUUAAAACAGAUUUGAAAGGUUUUUGAAUCUUUCGUUGAAUCUUUCAAUCUAAACGCAGUCUGUAAAAUUAAUUAUUAACCUCUCCUAAACAAUAGUUCGCAACACUUCACCAAUCAAAAAGUAAUCAGAAUCACCAUAACCCAAACCUGUACAACGUAGAAUUACCAUAGCCCAAAUGUUACACCUUUACUAUGCUACUUCCAUCCCAUUACAAUGAAAGCGGUUUUCUUCAACAUUCAACGGGAGACAUUGUGGUAAUUUGAUGCCAAGACGGUCUGCAGAGUUGACUUGUGAUAGCAGUAAACUGAGUACCUUCUUUUCCAAUCUUUCACAGCAUUACUUUUCCGACCUCAAUGAAAUUCUGACAAGAUGAUGCUUUUGUAUAAUUUAAUGAAGCAAGAGGGACAGAAGUGGAAAAAAAGCACCAAAGUAAAACAAUCAGGUACAAUUAUACAAAUACUGCUGAUCCAAGCAUGCACCGUUCUGGCCGUGUAUAAUUGAAUGCACCGUAUCUUGCCACAGAGAAAGAAAGGGACGUCAGUAAAGAGAAGAAUAUCGUAUUGAAAAAUGUAAAGAUCUACAAAAAAAAAGAAACAAGAAUCGACUUGAAGCUUAAAAUGAAAUGGAUAUAAAUACACAGUUAGUUCAAAUUGCUAAGAUCCUGUGUAACCUAUAUAAAGGAAGAAAAGAAAAGAAAAGGAGAAUUAAGCCAUGCAAGGUCUUCUAUACAUUCUUAUUCAUAGGCACUCCCAAUAACUAGUCCUCUUAAUGAGAAUAUUUUUAGAAAUUGGAAUGGAUGCCAGCCUCGAAUUCUCCAAAGGCUUUUGUGAAACGAACACAUUCACAAACAUUUACAGGGACUGUCCCAUAAUGAAAUCCAUGUUCGUAUGAGAGAUAUUGGAGGGUCCAUACUCGAAUAAGAAAGGACCAUGAACUCCGUGACCUACCAUUGUACUCUAUAUAUGUUUUCAUGUCUCUGAAAGUUUUGAAAUGGAUUAAUCCCUGACAUUAGGAUAUAUGUUUUUAACCAUGUGAAGCUUGCUCAUUAUACAGGUUAAAGAGAAGUGUUUAAAAGUCAUUUCUAGUCACAAUUUCUUGAAACUUAUCAUGAUACAUGGACUCAAUGGAAGUGACUUUUAGGAUAUCUGGACUCCUAGGAAGUGAGGAUGGCUUUCCAAGUCCUUGGCCAGAAAAGGGUUUUCUUUUACCUCCCUCCUAUUUUGGGGCAGCCGAAACAAAAGGAAACCGAAGCGACCAUUCGAGUCCAGCACUGUUAGAAUGCAUUUAAUGAAGUCCUCAUUUUUGUUUGUUUUGCUGAAGACAGUAAUGCAUCACGAUCCAAAAUUCUAUGCUGCUAAAACAUUAUGCUGGCAUUAAACCAAAUUCACCUAUGUAUCAUACACAAUAAUUUCAGUAGUUAAACGCUAUAGUAUUAUACCAAAUUAUUUUAUGUAUCAUGUAUAAUGGUUUUUCUCACAAUAUUUUGAGAGAUCAAAUAAAGAGUGAAUAAGGAAAAUGAAUGUCAAUUAAAAGGGAUCAUUUUAGAAAGCUGUGUUGAGGUUUUUGACAAUUUCACUAGUUUUUCUUGAGGUUUUGAAAAUAUUACUUACGUCUUUUGUCAUCAAUUUGGUUUCCAAUGCUUAGUGGUGAAAUGACUAUACUAGUCUUACACACAUACGUGGAGAGAAACAAUCAAAAUGUUUGCUAGUUAAAUUAACCAUAAUUUGGAAUUUUAAAAAACAACUAGUUUGCUAUAUAAAAAGGAAACUAAUACUAUGUGCACGUUUUCUAUUAAUGUGUUUGACAGAUAAAAAGAAUCAUAUAUGAUGUAUCUGAUAAAUAAAUAAAAGGAUUCUAACAUGAAAAAUAACUGAGCCGUUAACAAACUAAAUAAAUUAACCAUGAUUUGAUUAUGUUAGACAUCAGAAAAAGGCUCCGACACUAGGCUAACUUUUUUAUAUACUUGACAAUUAAAAGGAAUUGGACAUGUGGAGAUUCCAAAUCCAUUGUUUCUUCUUAUUAGCAUGGUGAUAACAAGAGUCUUAAGGAAAGAAAAAGAAACUUUAAAAUUUGUUUUGCUAAAAUUUGAAAGGUAUUACUUUUUGGUUGCAAAUGAUGAAAGUUUUUGUUAAUAAUGUGUAACAGCAAUCCUGUAAUUACGUUGUUUGGAUUGCAGUUUUCCGUCAAAAAAUUAUGUUAUUUUCCGUGAUCACAUUUCGCAAUUAUCUUUUUCCCUCACAUACAUCAAAUCGCUACAGUAUUUUUUUCAUGAAAAAUCAUGAAAAAUGCAAUCCAAACACAAGUAGAUCAAAUAAUUAAAUUAACUAUUAUUAUAGGAGAUGGCCACUUUUAGAAUCAAGUAAUCUUCUUACACCUAAAAUCAUUUUUUGUGUUAUUGCUUUUUUCUUGAAUUGGGUAAAUUAUUACAAGGGUAUAAAUUUCGAGGGAGGUUAGUGAUAUUUUCAAACUUUCGAGGAUGGCAAUGGAACCGUCAAACUGAGGGAAUGUCUCUAAAACUAUUCCUAAUUAAAACCUUUUACAUCCAAUAUGUCCCAUGUUCAUUAACAUAUGUACCAUUAAUGAAAGACACACUGCCCACCUUAGAAACUCAAAAUACAAAAGGAAAAAGAAAAAACCCAUAGUGAGUUGAAGAAAAGAAAGGCUACGGACCAGAGAAAGAGAGAGAUCCUCUCGAGAGUCUCAACAGAAAUUACACAUUCCCAAAGUUCCCAGUGUCUCCUCCAGAGUCCAGACAAGAAAAGAGAGAAAAAUUAAUACUGUAGCGUGUAUUCCUAACUCCCAGGUGUAUUAAACACUACAAAAAGCCACAAAUAAAAAUGUGUACUAGACAGUAGCCGAAAAUGUUUAAAACAGAGAGUAUUGCUGACUAAUAUGCAGAUAGCCUUAAUACUUAAAACAAUUAUAAGUAUUUCCAAACCCCACAAGAGAAAAAGAAUAAAAUAUGUACAAAAGACCAAAAUAGUUACUAAAAAUUAUAUGAUGAUCUCUGAACAACGUUUGUUCUACAACUAAUGUUUUGCACUUUUACUGCCUUAAUAUACACUAUCAAAGUAGUAAAUGCCAAAUUAUAUAAGUAAUUAAGUUAAAAUUUAAAAAAAAAAUUGCUUGUCCUAAGGCAGGAAGAGCUUGUUCCCACAUUUGCACCGCCAAGCUUCCGGGUAGUACUCUAGUGGUCGACUCAAACCCGGUUGAAUCGGAACAUGAACCGGUUUACACGGUGCACAGCUUCCACACUUGGAUCUACAUGUAGGCGGCGAUGAUCCCGGUCCAGUCAGUCUUCUUCGAUACAAAACUCGCUUUAUUAACUCCAUCCCACCUGCCCUUUUCACCUCUGCUCUUAUCUCCUCCGUCAUUGCACCACCACCUACACAGACAAACCAACCGAGUUAACCAAAAUUCAGCUCCAAGAACCGGGCUCUUUUUAAAGGUGUGUGCGGGUACUUACUGAAUUGGCGGGCGUGGUUGAAAGUAAGAGCUGAAACUGAAGAAAGCAAGAGAAAGAGUAAUGCACUGAUGGUAGCGAAUGACAGCGAACGGUUGCAGUGGCGGUGGCGUAUUACGGCCAUGGCGGGGGUGGGUUUUUUUUGUGGGGGUUGGGGGGGGAGGGGGGGAAGGGACGGACUUGUUAAUGUUGUCUAGUAUGCAGGAGGAGGAGGUGGGGGUGGUUUGGGGGUUUAAGGAGGGAGGAGGAGAAGUAUGAAGUGCCAGUACUUAGUUGCCUGUGUAUAGCUAAAUUUGAGAACAGGGUUGUUGUUGUUGUUGUUGUUGGUUAUCUUGGCUUGUUGCGUGCAGCGGAGAAGAAAGGAAGAAAAACAGCACGAUUUUUUCUGGUCCAAGUCAAAGACACAAGACUACAUUAAAGGAUGAGAGAGAGAUAUAUUAUUGUGUCUAUUGUAUUCAUAGAGGACAUAUCCCUGUGGGGUUAAGUUCCCACAUCGCUUGGGGGGGUUUUGGGGGGUUUAGUAGUUAAGUGCUGCGGAGCACUUCAAAAGUUGCCGGCUUUUGAAGUGUCUUCGCAGAGUCCAUUUAUCGAAACACUCAUACAAAAAACUGUGAGUUAUGAAAGGGAAAAACCUGUCUCGGGGAGUCUGGGGGGUCUUUAUCUCUUAGCAGCGGGGCACCCUGUGGGGUUAAGUUCCCACAUCGCUUGGGGGGGUUUUGGGGGGUUUAGUAGUUAAGUGCUGCGGAGCACUUCAAAAGUUGCCGGCUUUUGAAGUGUCUUCGCAGAGUCCAUUUAUCGAAACACUCAUACAAAAAACUGUGAGUUAUGAAAGGGUAUUCAUAGAGGACAUAUGAAAGGAUGCACUUGUCUUAGUUGUCUAUCGCUGUUUAACCUAUCGGAGAUGUUGUAUUUUAUAUAUAUAUAUAUAUAUAUAUAUAUAUAUACACGUUUAUAAACUCCUUUGGGAGGUUUUGUAGAAAAUUGCACUCUUUUUUUUUUUGAGACCUGAUAUAUUUCAGUAAAAAGUUGAUUAGAAAAAUGCGUAAAAAGAAUAUUUUUCAAAAACUAAACAAAAUUUUUCCAAAAUUAAGGCUCUGUUUGGAUUGCUUGUUUCCGUCGGAAAAUAUUGUCAUUUUUCAUGAUCAUAUUUUCCUAUUACCUUUUUUUCUCACAUAUAUCAAAUCGCUACAGUAAUUUUUCCAUGAAAAAUGACGAAAAAUGCAAUCCAAACACAACCUAACAUUUUGAAACAAGCUCUUAAUAAUGUUUUUUUUGUUUGACUGAGUAUAUUCGUGGUAACUAAAUAUGUACUCAUUCCUUUUACUAUGAAUAUUGGUAACUUGGUGAAGUGGCUUGACUAAUGUUAGUAUUUUAUACCAUUUAAAGAAGACAAUUAUUGCAUUUUCGAUCGAAAAGCAACAAGGGUUUUGGUUCUUUCUUCUUGUCUUCUAACCUACUUUACCUAGGAUGCAGUAGUGCACUAGGAUAGACGAAAGUCAUAAAUUUGUAACAUCAAAAAAUGGUUACUCAUAUACUGUACACCAAAAAGUAAAAUGAUAUCUAGUGCUUUGGUUGCUUGCAUAAUUGAACGUAUUUUGCAGAAAUAAGAAGAUAAGCAACGCAGCUCAAAAAACGGAGUCCAUAAUAACCACUCGGCCGUAGCAUUUCAAUCCCCAAAAAGCUAUUCUAUAGUAACCAAGAUUUUCUUUUUUUGACUACUACUAUUGCGUAGUCAAUGCAGGUAGACUUUACCAAUCGAUAAUAAAUAGAAGAAUAGAUACAUGUAGAUUUAGCGUUAUUCAUUCGCGACAUGCAUUUCUUUUUACAACUAGUCCACGGCGGCCCUAACCUAGAGAGAACACAAUAGAUUUCCUAGUUUUUGUGCUACAAUAGGGCAUGCAAAGUCUCGGGUUUGUUUGGUCUAUUUCCUCUGAUGAAGAAAGAAAAGGUGUGAAGAGGGUCCCAAAAGAAAUAUAAGAUUGAUUGAUUGUUCUGCGUCUGCGGGCAUAGGACUGUCCUUGCGCCUGCACAACUAUUGUCUAGUGUCUCUGAGCCUUCCAUCUUCAUUUCAUUAAGGGGAACAAGAAAUUGAAAGAGAAUAGGAUAAUAGGUGAGAAUACGAGGAAUAAUUGAAUGUGGUAAAUUUUAGAUGUUAAAAGCAAAAAACAAAAAAGCGCAAGAAAUGUCACAAGUCUAUUAGGGGGUGCAGGGCAUUGGUAAAACCACUAACACUUGAAGACACAAAACUAAAGGAUCCUUCUAACUGGUGCCCAUUUAACAGAGUCAAAAUAGAAUUUAGCACUUUCUUUCGCCAAAAUGAGCUAUAUACUGAAAAGGCUCCUUCAUGGUGAAGUUGUAUGUGGUGGAUACUUGAAUACAUAAAACCUAUAUAUAUAUAUAUAUAUAUAUACACGCAUGAGGGGUGGUUGAAGGGGACUGUGGAGGGGGAGGACUGAGGAGUCGCCACUGGCAAAGGACGGCACUCGUGUGGUAGCGUAGGUGCGGGGGUAUGCCAUGGGAGGUGGCUGUCUUGUACGGGACCAACAUCUGAACACUGAGUGAACGGAAUGCUAAUAAUGAAAUAUUUACAUACCCAUCCCCCCAUUAUUGACUCUUUACCACCUGCUUUCCCAUUUCUCAUGUUACACAACAUAUAAUUGAGGACUCAAUCACAGGUCAAUUUGACGCAUUGUGGGCCUAUAUUUUGCCUAAUUGUGCAUGGUUGUCAUGUCAAAUAAAACACAGCUCCGUUUAAAUUAGCUGUUUUUUAGAAUAUUUUUGAAAUAUUUUACUGUAAUAAUAUAUAUAAAAAUUUUUAUUUUUUAGAUUUUUUGCAUUUUUGGUAUUUUUUGAGGUUAUUUUUUAUGUUUUUGGUGUUUUUAAAGUUAUUUUUUGUGUUUUUGAAAUUGCCUUUUUUUUUGGUAUUUUUGAGGUCAUUUUUAUUUGUAUAUUACUGUAACAUUAUAUAUGAAAAACUUAUUUUUCAAAAAAUGAUCAAUCCAAACAUAGCCACAGAUUUUUGGUGGGAGAAGGGAUCAUAAGUAACAAGUUCUGAUUUCAAAAUCUCUCACUAAUAUAAAAAAGGAUUUAAAAAAGAACCAAAUUUCUAGCAAUACCCAAAUAUUUUGGUGAUCCAAUAUGCCAAAGAGAGAAAGAGAGAGAGAGAGCACUUUAACUAGUAAGUUAUACUCCCUCCGUCCCAUUUUGAUAGUCUUGUUUUCCUUUUUUGUCUGCCCCAAAUUGUAAUCCACUUUCCCAUUAAGAAAUGUAGUAAUCUUUCAAAUUGUCUAAAAUACCCUUAUUAAAUAUCUUAUUAUUAAUACAUUGUUAUUAAAUACUAACCCACUACAUUGAAUACAUUGAGCUUUUCCAAUACUAAUCCAUUAGCUGUAACUGAUAUUAUUAAUUGGCACUCUUCGUGAUUAGCAUAAGGGUAUUUUAGGAAAUUAUUAAUCUAAAUUUAUGUUUCCAACCAAAUUAAUUACACUUUUUUAAUCUGUGUGAAAAAAAAAUCAAGACUAACAAAAUAGGACGGAGGGAGUAGUUUUUUUUCUCAAGGAAAAUAUGUAGGUGUAGUACGAAAUUAAUUUCAAAAAAAAUUAAGAAGAAAAACAUUAAAGAAUCAAGAAGAAAAGCAUUUAAGAUGCACAAACUCUAUCUAGUACUCCUACAUUAAUUGUUGCAUUAAAUGAAGGGGGGGGGAUGAUGGAUAAUGCGAGUGCGGGCCUACAAGCAGGGGUUUCGGUCAUUCGGCUCUGGAUUCAAGAGAAAAUAAAAAAGAGAGUGGCCUGCGCCUUCUGGGUUCAGUCAGGUUGAUGUUCAGAACUCAUUUAAGGCCGGGUCAGGAAAAGAAAGAGAGAGAAUUAGCCAUAUGGGCCGUGUGGGAUCCAUUUGUUGUUUGGAUCAGGAAAAUGGUUAAGGACUGCCAAACGUUAGAUAACCUACCAAAACCGAAAGUAACAGCUUCCAUUAAAUGCCGGCCCUUUCUACCAUACUUGUUCGUAAUUCGCACUCAGUAAAUUAUUUAUGGAACUUGAUCAGUCAAACUUUCACCACUAGAUGACCAAUAUGAUUUGUAAUUUUUGCAUCUAAAACAAAUACGUUCGAGUAUGAACUCAAACUUAAGCAAGUUAAAAUAGUUAUUGAAUCGAGCUCAGAUUUUGAGAAGGAAAAAUGGUCAAUUUAACCCUUAAACCAAUUUCAUCCUUCGAUUUUUUAUUUAGAUGUUUGUAGUCCUUCAACUUAAAUUUACUGGCCAAUUUCAUCCUUUCGUGGUGAUACUACUUUUUGACACAAAAAUCACCACCAAAUUAAGGGCAAUAUAGGAAUUACACAUUAAAGAUCAAAACAAAAAAUUAGAAAAUGCUAGGGAGUAAAGUUGAAAACAUUUCAUCUUCUUGAAUGAGCAGUUGCAUACUGAUUCUUAUUCUUGCCAAACUUCCAAAGACAAUAUGUCUUAAAAAAAAAACCUUCAUCAACAUUGUUUUUGUACAUCAUCAUAUGUCUUGUAAUUUUAGCCCCACAAUUAAGACUUAUUGGCAUAUAAAAUUUUCUUGAUAAACUCAAGAAAAGUAUUCAAAUUAGCAAAUAGAUUAGCUGUUUUCUAAACAUUCCCUUGUCGAUAGCUACCUCUUCAUCAUCAUUGCAUCAAAGUUUGGGAAACAGCUUCCUUAAAUCAUCAUUUGGGAAACAACAUUUUCACUUUGAUCUUUUGGCUUACAAUUCAAACUUUUUCUUCGACCUCUUUACAUUCUUACUCAUCCCCUCCUGUUGCAUAGCCCUUGUCAAUAUUUUUACUCCGACACCAAUAGUGGAUUUUGCUGGGGAAAUGAGACUUGACGAGUGGACUUGUAUUGGAGUUCCAAAAAAUAAAUGAAUUAGCAGCUUUGAGUUGGGUUUUGGGGAUUUGGGUUCGGAAUUUCAUUGAUGGGUUGGCUUUUGCAGUUUCACGGGCUUCGCUAACAGCCGGAGGUGGAGAAGAAGAACAAUUUGGUUUAUUGCACCUUUUGUUUUACUCCUCCAAUUAAUGGAGAAUUGGUUUUCUCCCCAAUGUAACAGAAAAUAUUUUUCAUUCAUUGUUUUAAAAACGAUUCCUAUUUUGUAAAUCCUAUAUUGCCUUGACUUGAUGGUGAUUUUUGUGUCGGAAAGAGUUUUACUGGCAGCGCCUCUGUAAAAGGAUGAAAUUGGCUACUAAUUUUAAGAUGAAGGAUGAAAUCGCCUUAAGUUAAAAAGUUGAAGAACUAAAUUGACAAUUUUCUCUUUUGAAACACUCAACAGACUCAAUGCACUGUUACGUGAUAGGUUUUUGGGACAGAAAAGCAGCGGAAAUAAUUAAAAAUUUUCCCAAAGACCCACUCAGGAUCACCCUAGAUUUUGCGCAUGGUUCACAAAGGAAAGGAAAAAUAGAUUAUCUUAAUCUGUGUGACGUUCCUCUGCCGAAUUGGAGAAGACGAAUAACCUCUUGAGCAAUCCAGAUGUCCUGCCUCUACCGAAAUUCACACGAGAGUGAUAUUUGGAUCGUCUCUACAAUAAUUGUGAGUUGUGACCACCAUCACAUUCGUAAGUAUUCUAAGGACUUUAUCAGUUAUAUCUAACAUUUAACAGAUAAAGAAAAUGUUAUUAAAAUACAAAACAUAAUAAGGAAUGUAUUAAACAGAAUCAUUGUUUUAGGGCAUACAUUCCAACAUUACGCAUGUAAGCUUGAAUUCGAUUUUGAAUCAUGCACCACUCAAAAUCCGGAACUGUGUUUUGGUUCCUUACAAUUAUUCUCUCUCUCUUUUUUUUUUUGGUCCAUCUCUUCUCUGGCAUGGGUGCAUUUUGGCUAAUUCUCUGUCAAAUCUUUCAUGCCAUAGACACAUUACAAUUAACUAACAUGCUGAUCCCAGAAGUAGCAACUCUGAUAUAAAAAAUUUGCUUGCCGGGGCCACGUAUGUUUAGGAAAGUUGCUAGAAUGAGCUGUCUACUGUCAACCCCAUCAGGCAAAAACAGAUGUCCUUUGCGUACGAUUUCCAUUGUCCGGUGAUUUUUGUUGUAUUCAUUGUUUUGACUUACAUGGUCAUUUUGCUCUUCUCUGCCGUCAAUAAAGAAUUAAGUAGAGUUUUCAGCCGUUCCGGUAAGUUGGUAACUCUUCAUUCUUUUAUUAGUACGAGUAGUACACAAGACGCAGCUACUUUGCUGUAGUUUUGGUCGUCUGCAGAAAUAGCAAUUCCAUGAAACCAUCCAAUUACUUGUCCACGAUCCAGAAGAGAAAAUGGGAAGCUUGGGAGGAGUUUGAAGUAUGGUUGUAUCAAUAUCAUGUGGCUCACGAGUACGGUGCCUUGACUGGAAAUAUAAUGCCAGCAAGAAAGGAUAUUUUUGUCCCAUCAUUUUUAGCUAGAAUUCCAGAGUAUUCAUAGCUGCCAUUUUAAUGAUCUGUUUCUAAGGAGAUGGACAGAGUAUAAGACAGAAAUCAGAACAAACAAGGAGGAGGAGGAGGAGGAGGAUAUUUAUCAGGACCAUAGGGACCAGUUAAAAUAAACCACACCACAAACACCAAAUGAAAAUCAAACCUCACACGUGGCACGAAAACCAAUGGGAAACCAAGAUUAUCACGAAAACUCCCCACACGAAUAUCAUCAUUUCAAACCUUCAGACUGCCAAUGUACGUAUUUCAGCAGCCACUGAACAGUUACUGACACCUCAAAUACCAUCGAAUUUAUCAUUGAACUGCUGUUGACUUUCGACGUAGUCUGCUAUUCAAUUCUCAUGGCAAUUGAGGUGUGCUUUCUAAAACAAGCCCGCAUAGUAAAAAUUCUUGAAUUCGUCAUACAAAUUUUAUUUCUUGAUACACAAGCUCUGUUGUGUCCGUGCAGGCUUGGUUUAUGGAUGAAAGUGGUGAGGAUCAAAGGCUCCCACAUAAGAGGGACCCUCCAGAGCAUGUCUCCUUGGAGCAUUUGGCUGAUCUUGGAGUAGUUUACUGGCAUUUGAACCCGGAGAAUUACGAGAACGAUGAAGAAUUGAAGAAGAUUAGAGAUAGCAGAGGCUACAGCUAUAUGGUCUGAUGAAUUUCUCUCUUUCUUCUGAAAUUUUUUUGGGGGAUUAGUUUAAUUUUUAAUUAGAAUACAGUAGUAGCUAGUGGUGGAUCGAGAACAUUUCUAAAGCUUUCAUGUCUCUGAAAUUCCAUUACUGAGAUAAUUACUACUCUUAAUUAGCAUCAUGGCAUGUUCAUCUUAUUGUGUAAUUUGAGAAUAGUUUAAUUUUUUUGUUUCAUUACCAAUUAACUUUUUAUGUAAAUUUCGAAGGGAUUCUAAAUUCUAGCUGUGCUCAUAAAUAUACACUUGCGAAAAGGUGCUACUUGACAAAAUUCUUUUUAUGUUAGUUGCAGAAUGAUCUGCUUAUAUAUGUAGUGUCAGUGUAAAAUCUCUUUUUGACUUUGCCUAUCGUGUGACAUCAACUACAACGUGGUACAAUAUCUCGUAGUAUUGUUUGAGGCUGAUAUUAUCAUAGGCCAAGCUUGCUGAUGGGUUAAAAUAUGCCAAACCUGAAUUUUGCAUUCCUGUUAUGAAGGAUUUGCUGGACUUGUGCCCUGAGAAAGUGGAGAACUAUGAACAGAAGCUGAAGAACUUCUAUACAGAGCACAUUCAUGGAGAUGAGGAGAUACGUUAUUGCUUAGAGGGUAGUGGUUACUUUGAUGUUAGAGACAAGGAUGAUCGUUGGAUUCGCAUCUGGAUCAAAGCCGGUGAUCUUAUUGUGUUACCAGCUGGAAUUUACCACCGGUUCACCCUUGACACCAGCAACUAUGUGAAGGUAAAAAUAUUGAUAUCAUGAGCCUCACUUCUGAUGGGACUAUGUCUAUACAUUGCUCAUAUUCUAUUCAUGAAUUAGUUGACACUUGACAGACCAAAUGUAAAACUAGAGAACUUCAUCUCGCUUUAUCAAUUUCUGGCCAAUUCAGGAUUUAAAGUAGCCAGCGGUGAAAGGGAUCAACUCAGGGCACCUCUAUUUAAAAGGAUAAAUCCCACCGAACUGAGUUUACCACUAGAAAUGAAAUGAAAUAGGUCAUAGAGUCCAGGAACCAGUUUGAUGAAGUUCGCUAGGCUUUUAUGCCAAAUCAUGAAGACUACAGUCCUCGACGGGCUUCCUGAAUGAUUCCUGACUCUUUGGUGCUGUGUUUUUCACUUGCAUUGCCUGCAGCUGAUGAGGUUGUUUGUGGGAGAGCCAGUUUGGACAGCCUUUAACCGGCCACAGGAGGAUCAUCCGGCUAGGAAGGAAUACGUGAAGAAUUUCACUGAGAAGGUGGGAGUGCCACUGGAAGCUCAUUGAUACAACCUCAUCAAAGAGGGGGCUGGGGACGUUUUCUUGUCUUUGGUAUUUUUUAACAAAUAUGGCGUUGCCUUAUCUUUUAAUACAACGGUGUAUGGUAUAAAUUAUGUUGGAACUGCGAGUAAAAAGUACUAAUAUAUGUAUUCUGCUGGCUGUUGACUCUUGCCUCUUUUGGCUGAAACGUAAUGAGCCGUGCAUCCUACUUUACAAAGAAUAGGACCCUUUUGGAGAUGAGAUGUUUGGUUGACGAAGAACUAGUGAGCUGCUUAAAGUGAAGGGAAAACAGGGCAAAAUUGAAUGAAGAAAAAGAAAACAAAGAAGAGGACACAGAAUUAGAGAACGCUCGGCCAUUCCCUCAAACCUAAGAAUAAGCAAUAAUUGCCGUUUCCAAUUGAGAUGAAUGGUUGGUCGGUUCAUUGUCUGACUUCAGGGAAUGUGGGCUGCUUUGUGUACUUGGACGGUGAUGAUGAGAUGGGCUAAAUUUGGACAAAUUGAAAGUUAGAUCAGGAAACUUUGCCAGCUGAUUGCUGGUUGACAUUUCUAUUCGAGCAGUGCCAGCCCACAGGCCCUGUACUCCGGUGUCCAUCAAACAGUAAUGUAGAAUCCAUAGCUAAACAUUCGGCAGCAAAAUGAAUUGUAUUCUCAUGGACAGGUCAAAGAAGGAAGGCAGUAUAGAAUUUUGGAUGAUAGAACAAUUGGUAGAUGGUUUGUCCACUUCUCUUUCAGAGAUUCAUCAACAAGAGCACUAAAGAAAUAUGGCUUCAAAGGCCGGUUGCAUGCAAACGUGUAAUGGUGGCUCUUUGAAUUUUGACAAAAGGAAAAAGACCAAGUGAAGGGAUGUAAAACGUUUUCUGGAAAACAUUUUUCGUAUUUUCUGCAUGUAAAGGAAUAUGUGGUCACAACGUGUAGAAAGCAAAGGUAGGGGUAAAAGAGGGGAAAAUAUUUCAAAAGUUAAACAAACACCAGAAAAUGAAGUUAGAAAAUAUUUUCAAUAGGUUAACCAAGAAAAUGAUGAAAAAGAAAUGAUUUUCCUGAAAAAUUACUUUCAUGAAAAAUAUUUUCCCCAUUAAAACAUUUUACUCCCAGCCAAACGGAUGUACCUACUGAAGAACUCUUUCAACAUUUUGAUCUGGAAUGGCUUUAGUGGCCAACUUGAUAAUGAAUACAAGGCUUUUUACUAGUUAAUAAUAGAUGAAAUCAAAUGAUCACGUAUAAUAUAUAUAUUCGUAUUGUUAAGUGAAAUCAAAUAGAUAUAUACAUAUGUUUUAAAAAAAAAAAUGUAUUCGUGCAUAUGAUUAGUAAGAGAUGAAAGAUUCAUUUUGUGAAAAUAUGAGGGACGAAAAGAUUCAUUUUGUGAAUAUAUGAAGGAUCAUGGAUCGAAUUAUGUGAAAUGUGAUUUUACAAUUUUGUCCAUAAAAAAUUAGCGCGUGUAAAGCGCGCACUGGAUUCCAGUAAAAUACUAGUCGGAAACCUAAAUCGAAAUCAAAUUUAUCUGAUAUGAAUUUGUAAGGGAUAUAAAAUUACACUUUUGAAAGUGAGGGACUAAAAAAAUCAUUUUACAAGACGCAAAGAAUGCAUUUUUCCGUUUUUCUUGGUUUACUCGAGGUUUGGUAGGGUAUGCUGGUGCCAACCAAGGACCAAAAUAUCCAAACUUCUCUAGCGUCUUCAUCUCUAGAACUUCUCUAGUAUCUUCUUUCGCUUCACGGGAGUGCGCUAGAAUUCAAAGGUCUGCAAAUGCUAUGAUAAACAAGUUGCCAAUAGAAUAUGAAUUUAACAACAGAAGAUUCAUGGUCUUCGAGAAUGUUGCACCGACUUAAGGCAUGCCUCUAUAAAUAAGCAGCUCAUAUUGCUGCCUAUCUCCACUCUGCAUUGAGAGUACCCCAGGACAGUAAUAAAGCAAACCAAUGCACUGUACUACCAUUUGUUGGUUGCAUAAGCAUUCUUUCAUGAUCUUUGGUAUUUUUGCCUUUUACUAUAAUGUUAAGUUGAAAUAAUUUUUUUUUGGGUUAUAUUUUUUGUGCUAUCUAAUCGGCUAUGAAAAUAGGGGAAAAAUAUUUUUAGAAAAUAGUGCAGUGCUUUUUUAUGUAAUGUAAUGUACCUGACAUAAAAAAGUUGCUGAGAAACGUGUGAUGAUGGAAACAAAAAUUUUGACAAAUAAUCUACAUUCAAAAAACAAACACAGUCGAACAGACAAAUAUAGUCAAUUUCGUAAUCCAGGCCACAACUAAUUGAGGCCAGAUGCAUGUCCAGAUUUUAGGAAAAAAAGAAAUUCUUUGAUUUCUGCAUUUGAGAAUACUAAAAUACCCCUUUAUCUGUCAAGUCUGCUUUAGAAAUUCAACUAAUCUGGUCAAAUUCCAUUCCAGAACGAGGGCAUUACCGUAAUUUAAGUUUCAAAGUCAAGGAGGGUACGAUGUUUAUAAAUUCGGCGUGGUUCCGAAGCUCAGACGCGGAAAAUUCCAUUCAGACCUGAGAAUAAAGAGCUGACCUGUGGACAGAAAAAAAAAAAAAGCAAAAAAUGGGUUCUCUUACAAAGGUAUGAUAUCCCGCUGACUUUAUUUUCUCUGUGUUUCCCUGAAUUUCUCAUACUGCUAUAUCCGAAUUGCAUGCGGAAGAUUUUGGUUUGGAUGAGAAAUCCGUUAUCGUGAAAUUGCGUAAUUUUUUUCAGUUUAUUUUGGAUGAUAUGCUUAGGUGCAUCUGUGUGCGAGUUUUUGUUGUGUUAUAAUACAGAUUGAAAUAGCUUGCAUUUAUGAUUGUGAUUCUUAAGAGAAUUGAUAUUUAAUUGAGGGAAAGACUACAUAUUGUUGAUAGAUGGAUAUCAAAGACUGCAGGAAGAAGAUGAAGGAAAUAAGAAUGGUUCUGCUUUUUUCUUUUUCUGGAAGAAAAUAAAGCUGAUUAUUUUGCUUUUGUGAAGAUUGAAUUUAGAGGAGAAGUUUGGUGGCUUUGGAUUAUGUGGGCAUUCAAUGGUGUGUUCUUUUACCAGUUGAUCUUGGCUUUUGAGGGAUUGGAAGUUUUACUUUUAGGUUUUUUCGAUCUAGGUAUGGUGUUCCCAAUGGGAUAAUUGUCGGGGAUAUAACUAGUUUACUAUUCUUUUGCAUCCAAACUAUGAUUUGGAACUGGAACUAGUGCAGAAACUAUUACCUCCUCAAACUGUCGGGUCUGUUUUGGCCUCUUUCUUGGAUUUCACAGGACUUACUGGUGAUAUAGGUGCAAUUAGAGGGAUUAGUUGCAGUUUCUGUAAAUGGAUUUUGGCAUUUGUGUAUCUUGCUUUCUGUAUUUUCUGUUGAAUAGUUACUAUCUCACAUCUAUGUGUGUGGACUAAAUUUGUGACUAGGCUUUAUCCUAAUUUGAAUAACUAGGGAACACAUCAUAAGCUACACUGUGGAAUACAUAAUCUUAUGUUAUCUGGUGUUCCAGUUGGGAAAAGAAGUUCUUAAAUCGUCUUGCUUCAUGUACAUAGCUAAAAGAGGAGAGGCAUUUCAGUACUAUGUUUGCUUCAUGAGUGCGAUUGUACUAUGUUUGCUUCAUGAGUGCAAUUGACCCAUUGAAAUUUCUGUGUCGUUUAGUUCCUGAUUCCCGUUGAGAAAGGUGUGUUUCUUGACGGGAAAAUAUUAGAUCAUUUCAUCUAUUUUUUGUAUUGUAGGAUGACAGGGAGGAAGUGAUACAGGCAUGGUAUAUGGAUGACAGCGAUGAGGACCAGAGACUUCCCCACCACCGUGAGCCUAAGGAGUUUGUCUCUCUGGAUAAACUUGCAGGUAUAUACAUUGGAUACUAGCCAGGAUUAUUCUCAAUCUAUGAAGGGCUUCUGUUGGAACAAAGCUAGUUAUUGACUGUCCUUUUUUUUUUUUCUGUUAUUGACAAUAUACAAGCGUCCUGGUUCUUGAUAAAAUUUGUUACACAUUCACAUUAUGCCUGUAGUGAAGUUAAUUGUCUGUGCAAGACCAUUUGAAUUAUUCGUGAAUUGCUUUCUCUCUGUCUAGCCUCUAAUUAAACGUGUCUUGAGUGUCGUCUUUUGCUUUUUUCUCUCUGUUGAGCCUCUGAACUUAUUUAAACGCAUAUUGAGUUACCUUGUCUUAUUCUCUGAUCCAGUGUUCUCAAUUUUCCAGAACUCGGAGUACUCAGCUGGCGAUUGGAUGCUGAUAAGUAUGAAAAUGAUGAAGAGUUGAAGAAAAUCCGUGACGCCCGUGGAUAUUCAUACAUGGUAUGAAGAAGCGUCAAUCAAAGUGGCAUAAAUUUAUUAUCUUUGUCAGUUGAACUUUGUCUUGACUGGUAAGUUGAGUAUAAUGGGAUCCAAACACCUUUUCAGGACUUCUGCGAGGUUUGCCCUGAGAAAUUACCCAAUUAUGAGGAGAAGAUCAAAAACUUCUUUGAAGAACAUCUUCACACUGAUGAGGAGAUCCGCUACUGCGUUGCAGGGAGUGGUAUGUUAAUGAACAGUAAUUUGACUCUGUUAUCUUACUUUCUCAAACUGGUCUAUGGCCUUAAAUUUUUGUCUGGUGAAGGUUACUUUGAUGCUCGGGAUCGUAAUGAUGAAUGGAUCCGCAUCUGGGUAAAGAAAGGAGCCAUGAUUGUCCUUCCAGCUGGGAUUUAUCACCGCUUUACUCUUGAUUCUGACAACUACAUCAAGGUACUUGUGUGCAAUGCAAAUAAGCCUGUGUUAGACAAAAAGUACAAUGUUGUACAACUGUUCUUGUUUUUCAUUUGGGCCUGAGUAUGGAUUGGUUGCUCAAUUGAUGUGUGUUGUUCAUUAUUAUUAUUUAGUUUUUCUGUGAUCAAAUCAUAUAACCACAUUGUUUGGUUAUUAUGGAAACGAUUCAUGGAAAUUAUUUCUUAAUUAAAUCACAUUGUUGUUGUUUUGUAGGCAAUGCGGCUUUUUGUUGGUGAUCCGGUUUGGACACCCUUUAAUCGCCCGCAUGACCAUCUGCCUGCAAGGUAUGUCUUCUACUUAGCUUGAAGCUCUUUGCUUCUCCACAUAUUUAUUGUUGCCAUUGUCCGAACUCAAAGAAAUCUAAAUAGUAAAUAUAACCUGGAAAAUAAAAGUGGAAAGUUAUGGCCUGUUAUUCUAAGAAGGGGGUCAUUGUGUGCAGGAAAGCAUAUGUUGAAACAUUUGGGCAGAAGGAAGGUGCAGGUCAGGCAGUUGACGCUGCAGCUUAAAAACGCAUCUACAGUAUGACAAGUGAAGCUUAUUAUAAUAGCUACCAAAUAAAUUGGAUUGAAUGAUACUUCCUGCUGGCUUGUUGCUUUGCUUUUAAUUGUCUGUAAUCGUUUAAGAUGAUGUUGUAUAAGAAAAGAUGGAAAACUGUGUUGUGCUUGCCUGCUUUAUCAGCCCCUCUUAAAUGGUGUGUUCUUUUGUUGUGUAUAUGCGAGUUGCAAUGGUGGAUUCUAUAUUUGGUAAAACUGACUAUAUAUAUAAUAUGCUUCCUGCCCUUUUCCACCCUGUUACAACUUCUGAAUUGAUGUUAGGAGAUCAUGCAUGUUUUGUCUGUGAUCUUUUGUUCUACAUCCAUCCGGAAACCCAUAUAAAGUAUGCCCUUUUUUUGCCCUUUUGUUGUUCGUAUUAGUUUAAUAUAUUAGUGUCCUAUUUAAUAAGCUGGAACUGUGUUUGAAACGGCUGGAUGUGGUAACACGUGUAUUGAGAUGGUGAUGUAGGUGGGUCAGAUACUUCCUACGACUAGUAUUUGGUAGGCAACCGAUAUCGAUAUCAUUGGGUGGGCUGUGCCACUCUUUGGAUCAUACAGCAGACUAGUGAUAUACUUGCAGAUGUUUGCGACCGGCAGGGAAGGCCUCAUAUUAUUAGCAAUAAUAAACCACUGUCUUUGGCACGGGCUACUACCCAAUUACAAUCAUCUAACCCUCUUGUCUUGUCUUUUGCCGUUUGUCUUGGUAGAAAAUCAGAAAUGUAGACUUGGACCAAGUAACUUUUCGUGGAUUUUGUCACUCUUUAUUAACCAAAACGAAGAGAAUGGGUAAGGAGUUACAAAAUCUGCCCGCUUUAGUCUAAUGGCUAAAAUUGAGAUUUUAAAACUUAAAAAGAGAUAUUGGCUUUUAAUCGUUCUUUCUUUUCUUCGCUCCUUAAUUAUUACUACUCUUACAUUUUAAAAAAGAGGAUUUACAAAAUCCGGGCUCACCUAGAAAAAAAACAUUUGUUAGGUAAUUAUGAGGUUUCUGAUUACAUGGAAAUAUGAUUUUAAGUGUUAAUGGCGUUUCAUGUUGGCUAACAAAUUGUUUCCUCGAAACUUCCUUUAGCCCCCCCCCCCCAAAAAAAAUUUAAUGUAGCCUAAGGACCGUGUGUAAAACUAAAAGGAUUGUUGUUUUGGGCUGCAUAAUCAAAAUCCAAAUUGGCUAGAGCUGCCUAAAAUUUCUUUUUACGUGUUUGAAUGUUUUGAGUAUGUGACAUUAUUGGUAUUAGAAUACCUUGACUGUGCAUGUGUUGCUUCCAUAGUCUUAAAACAUGCUUUGAAUAAUGAUGUCUGAGUUGAUUAUUAACUAUUAUUUAAUCAUCUAGUAAGAUCUGGAUGUUCCAUUAGAGCCUUGAAUACGUCAAGGAUUGUGGACCCCAUCAUUAAGGAUUUAUAGUGUCAUCAUUAGGAUCUUGAUUAAUGAUUAAAAUACCUAAUAUUAUUUAAGGUAAGCAGAUCCAUGGCAUCAAAGAUAUUUUCCAUGGAAAGCUUGUUGGCAAUAUGACCAAACUAACCGACCUUACUUUUUUCAGCGUACGAAGUACUGCUGCUUACUUAACUGAAGUCCGCGUAUUUAGUAGGUGAGGACUAUUUUAACAUUGCUUGACUCAUUUUCCAUCUUUUUUUUUUUUUUUGUCAAUCAUCAUUUCUAUUCUUACUCUAUCAUAAUCUAACUAGAGGGGGAGGCACAACUGAAUUUACGGGACAUCGAUGGGGACAGAACCAUCAUCGAAUCAAACGGAUAUGCUAUGCACCCGUUUGAAAUUUUUUUUUUUUGAAGAACUGCACGUGGCAAUUGGUUAGAGGCAUGGUUCGAAUCCUUGCCUCCUACCUCACCGAACCCUUGGUUUUCCAUCUUUUGUUGCUUGCUCAUUUUUUUUCCCUUUCCUGACCUAGAUAUUUUUUUUUUUGAAGAAUCACAAAUGUGACAAAUUGAUUGGAGUCAUGGUUCGAACUCUUGCCUCCCAUCCCACCGGACCCUUGGUUUUCCAUCUUUUGUUGCUUGCCCCUUUUUUUUUCCCAUUCCCGACCCAAUAAUAUCUAAUUUAUUCCUGCUCUACAAUCAUAUUAUUUUCUUUCCCGUCAUUGUUGUUUACAGUUUAUACUAUGAAUUAUAAACAAUCGAAUUCCCUUUUUUGUUAAUAAAAAAAAAACAGUUGCAUUCUGGUCCCAUUUGAAAAUUAAAUUGCACAAAAGAGGGGGAAGAAACGAGAUGUCGGGAUUCUACUCCAUUACCUGCCAUGUCUCUAUCUCCGUCUUUCGUGUAAGUUCUAGACAUUUAGCGAAUUCCUUUUAAUAUUAUUUUACUCCAACACUUGUUGUAAUGCCAUAGAAGCACAUUGGUGGACCAACUCAUAAGGGCUUUGCUAAAUAAUUCACGAAAUUUAUCAUGAAGGUUUUAGUUUAGGAUUAAUUUUAUAUAUAUUGUUAAUAUAUGCAUUAUCAUUAUUAGAUAUAUGAUACAUGUAUAAAAUUUAAAUUUAAAACUCAAAAGUUAUAUAAUUUAUCUAAUCGUGAUAGUGUAUAUAUUGAAUUGUGAAUUAUGUUAGUUGUAUGGAAAUCUGUCAUGUAUAAAUUCUUACUGAUAUUUAAGAUAGAAACAAGUAAUUGAUAAUGCUUCUCUUGGAGGGCAGAUUUGAUUGUUGAAUGUUGAGGAAAAAAGAAUUGUAAUCAAAUCUUUUCACGGAAAUGAGAAUGCUCGUUCAAUUAUAAUAAUGAUCCCCAAUACAAAGGGCACAAAAGAAAGGGAAGUUUUCGUUUCGAGGAUACCACAUUGCAACACAUGUACAACUCACAGGAUAAACUAUCAACUUCUUCUACAUUUCUAAAGCUGAAUUGCUAAUCAGAUCUGAACCGGUGGCCGUGGUCAUUUGGCCAACGAGAUUGGAUUGGGGAAAAUUUAGGUUAAAAACGUGUCUUUUCAUAUGCAAUUCUCGUGUCUUAUUCAUAAUAUGCAAUUCUGUACUCUGAUUUGGUAUAUUGGAAGGACGAUUCCCCUCCAACACGUGGAAACACGUACAGAAAAACUUUCCUUAAACAAAAGAGUAGCAGCAGCAAUGGAUUUACCAGUCAAACUUGUAAAAGUCCAAGGCCCUCCCAAAAGAAGAAAGGGCACUGGGAGGUGUGGGGACUUGAAAAUAUCUCAACACCAUUUUAUUCUUGUUUAUGCAUCAUGUAGACUUUCCACCCGUCCAAAGCUAACAAAAGUGGUGAAUAGUGCUAAAAAGCAAUAAAAUAAAAUGACCUUUCUUUUAUUCCUAAUAGUAACUGCUACUAUGAACCAAUAAUGACCUAAUAAGAUGAAAGGACCCUUCUUUAUAUCAGCCCUAUGACAAUGAAAUAAAACUUUGCACCCAGCAUUCACGUCUUCUACCCUAUUGUUUUCCUCCACCCCGUUUCUUUGCUUCCGUUGAAGCAUGGUCUCCAAAGCUUGUCUUCUCCAACUCUCUUGGACUUCCUCAUUGUUGCCUCCUUGAUUUGCAGUUAACCUCCCAAUCUUCUCCUUAACUUGCACGUAAAUUAUCUUCCAAAACCCAUUUUCUCUCUUUAAUAUUCUUUUUUCUUCUUUCUUGCUACUACUAUUUUUCAUUUUCUUUUCUUCCUUCUCUCUUGAGGAGGAGGAGCUCAGUAUUAGGAAAACAGCUAAAGAUCUCUGCCCUUGAAAAGGAACAUCGUAUUACCAAGUAGUUACUGUUUAGGGGUAGUAUUUGUUUGUGACUUGCUUCAACUACUGCUCUCAAGUCAAAUCUACCAAACCAUCCAUCUAUAGUUAAAAACAAGGCUGACCCUGGUAUGUUUUGGUGUCGUUAGCUAAUCCCAGAAAGGGUUUCCUUUUUUGGUCUGGUCAGUGGAAUCCAGGUAUGAAUCCUUUAGGUUCAUCAGUGAAGGAGGAGUUUCCUGCUGGAUCUAGUUCAUGGUAUUCAGAUGAGACUUUUUCUUCGGCCACUCCUCAGCCAAUGGAGGGGCUUCGCGAGUCUGGUCCUCCACCAUUUCUCACUAAGACUUAUGACCUUGUGGAUGAUCCAAGCACCGAUCAUAUUGUCUGUUGGAGUAAAGGUAACAACAGUUUUAUUGUUUGGGAUCCACAGACAUUUGCUAUGAACCUUCUUCCUAGGUACUUCAAGCAUAACAAUUUCUCAAGCUUUGUCAGGCAGCUCAACACUUAUGUGAGUCUUCUCUUAAUUACAAGCUGAAGGAUUUUCUCUCAUUUUUGACUUGUCUACAAUGUGUUCUUAAAUUAUGAAGUUAGAUACAUAGAUUUGCUCAAGAUAUUUUAUUUACUUCCCUUAUUUAUUCGUGUUCAUUAGGCAUCUUAGUUUGAAAUGCUGUAAUCUUGGGCUUCAAUUUCAAGAUUUGUGGUAUAAAUUGCACCUCUAAUAGUUUCACCUUUUAAUGCUUGCAAUCUUCCUCAAUGUAUUCCUUUUGUUUGCGCAAUGGCUUUAAGGAGUAGUAGUAGUAGGCUAAAUUAUAUGCGGAAAUCAUAAGUAACAUGUUCUACUAAUCACUCUUCAUUUGUAACAUGUAAAUAUUGUCAUUGAGUAACGCUUCAAAUUUUAUUUGGUUUUCUGUACAAUAAUCCCAAGAUAUUAAAUUAAGUUUAUGGCCUUUAUUUCUUAUAUGGUUCUCAAAGUACUGUAACGACAGGUACAUGUUUCCCUAUGGUUAUAUAAUGUGAAAGACUGGUAGUACUUUCGAUUGUGCAGGGUUUUAGAAAGGUUGAUGCAGAAAAAUGGGAGUUUGCUAAUGAAGGGUUCUUAAGGGGGCAAAGGCAUCUUUUGAGAAAUGUUAGGCGAAGAAAGACACCUCCCCAUCUACAAUCUUCCAACCCAAAUUUAGAGUCUUGUCUUGAAGUGGGAAGGUUUGGAUUAGAUGUUGAAGUUGAUCGGUUGAGGCGUGACAAGCAGGUGCUAAUGCUGGAACUAGUAAGGCUUAGACAGCAACAACAGAAUACUAAAGCCUACCUUAAAACAAUGGAGCAAAGACUACGAGGAACUGAGAAUAAACAGCAGCAGAUGAUGACAUUCUUGGCUAGAGCAAUUCAGAAUCCUAGAAUCCUUGAGCAGUUAGUCCAACAGAAGGACAAAAGGAAAGAACUUGAGGAAGCAAUUGGCAACAAAAGGAGGAGGCCAAUCGAUAAAGGUCCUAGCUUUAGUGUUGGUGUAGGAGAAUUUGGUCAAGAAGGGGAAGAAGUUAACGAUUAUGUCAAACUAGAAUGUCAGGAUUAUGGUCAUGACCUGACUGGACUUACAGAUUUUGAGCUGAACACACUUGCAAUAAACAUGCAAGAGCCAACUCCACCUCCGAUGAAUUUGGAGGAAGAGUAUGUUGGAAAGGAUGACGACUCAUUUGAUGAUGGAUUUUGGGAUGGAUUGAUUCAUGAGGGCAUUGAAAAUGACAUAGGUUUGCGUGGUGGUGAAGGAGAAGAUCUAGAAGAUUUGGAUUUGUUAACCGAUCAGCUUGGUUUUCUGGGUUCUAAUCCACCGUAAAAGCCUCCCUCAACCUAAAUCUGUUUGGUGGUCGCUGAUCCCGACUUACUUGGGAUGCAAUACUUUUGUGGAAAAGCAAACUCACAGUUCAGCUGGUGUAUGGAUUAAGGCAUUUAACUUGUGAAGGUUAUGAAGUUAUUUAUUCAGCAUUGGAAUUCUUCCAGAAAUCUGACAAUCUUGGAGCUUCAGUAAUUUAUUGCAACAAUUUGUUUAGCUUCUGUAAUUUAUUGCAACACUAUGUUUCAUAUCUGCUUUUGGAUUCCUUCUUGGCUGUAUUGCACUGCUUCUGGGAAUAGUACUUGUAGGGAGGUCUUUAAGCUGAACGUUGCCGUGUUGAACAAUGUUAAAAACUUGUAUGCUUCAGUAAUUUCUUUACAUGAUCACAAUUCAUGUAGCUAAAAAGAAGGGAAGCUGGAGUGUCCGGUGAGACUGGGAAAAUACUUAGUGGGUGUUUGGACAGCCAUUUUUCACCAAAAAAUUGCUACGUUUUUUCGUGAACACAUUUCCUAUAACCUUUUUAUCUCAUAUAUAUUGAUAUCGCUACAGUAAUUUUUCUACAAAAAAAUGCAAUCCAAACUCUGGUACAUUGUUUGUAUUGUGAUUUUAUCUGUUGAUUGGAUUUAGAUAUUCCAGUAGAUGAUUGUGCAUAUAUAGAUGUUUCGCCAUAAACCAUUAGAUUUGAUUAUCCAUAAUCCACACGUCUUAAUUAGAUUUUCCAAAGAAAGAACAUAAUAUUUAAGUGUUCCUAUACCGUUAGGUGUCUUAUCAGAUACGUCCCAAAGAUCAUCUAGGAAUAUGGUGUUUUUAACUCGUAGGGACAAAUUUGUGUUGCAAGAUGAGAGGGUCUAUGGAAAUGUUUAUUGAUACCUUGCAAAAAGUUUUAUGGUAAAUUAUUUUUUUUCUGUAAUGCAAUUGACUUUUGAAAAACAUUUUGAUGUAAGUCACAAUUUUCAAAUGCCAAAUUAACCUUUUAAUUGUAAUUUGGUGGAUGGAUGUUAAUUACCAUUAAUGAUGAUCAUCACUCCAUCAGUGGACUAAUAAAGGUGACAAUAUGAAAAGAUGGGAAGGAAGACAGAAUAUUGUAAUUGAGUCUUUAAUCCAACUUGAAAAAUGUUGGUUGGCUCUAAAGUUGUUAGCCAUUUAUGUUGUGUUUGUUUGCCACAAACUAGCCAGGGAUUCUUUAGUAUCACUAUUCUUGUUUCAUGUCUUCUCAAGUUCUCAAUACUCGUUUGCUUUAGCAAAUAGUCCCACUAGGCAGCGGAAUCGGAAUUAGUAGUUUAAGAUCCAUUCAAACCGUCUAAAAAAACACUUGCUACCUAAACUUAUCUGACUAAUUUAGAGUUCACUAUCACAAGAAAAAAUCAACACAAGCAGCUCCAAUGAUAAACUAACAAUUCAUUGUUCUAUUUCAUUUCAUUAGUAAUCCAUAUUUCAUAGCUAAUCUAAGUUCAAGACUAAUCCAACCUAGUUAACAAUGAGGUAUUUUUUUUAAUAGUAUUUGCAUCAUAUUUUCCUUCUCCUCGCACGUGAUAUUCUCUUAGAAUCAAUUUUAUAACAAUAAAUGCUUAAAUAUAACUAAAAGAAAUGAAACCAAAAUCGGAAUCAAUUACUUAAACUUUAAUCGGAUUCAUAUCGGAGAUUCAAAAAUCGUAACCAUAAUUGUAACAGUUCCUAUAAGGGUUGGUUGAGAUUCUAUCUUUCAGAAGAACUGAAACCGUUGGUUGUUAAAUUUGAACCAGUGAUUCUGAAGUCGCGAUCAUGUUCAGUUCACAUUGAUGCAGCAAAAGAUGGGCGCAAGUUUAGUGAGUAUGAUUAUGCACGUACCUGACUUAAAGAAAGGAAGUUCUUGGUGACAGAUCAGGUCAGAUAGUGCUCCAUAAUUCUCUAUUUAGGGAGGUCACUUCCUUCUGAAGCUAUUAAUAUUAGUCUUAAUGAUGCAUCAACGUUGGCACUGGAGUAGCAGUCUGGGAAUUGAAUUGGUUCACACAUAACAAAGGACGUUGCCUUGUUUGUCUGUCUGGAUUGGGCAUGGGUGCAUGAACAAAAGCAAAGUUACUUCCCCCUGGCAAUGGCGUAUGUAAAGAUUACGCCGACUUUUUGCCUUCCUAUCUUGCUGCAUUUUGAAAAAUAAGAAUUCUUCAUACUGUUUUGUUCUUUAUUGUGAGCUUUUAGCCCUGGCUUUUGUUCUGAUAAUGAUUCUACUUAAUGGGUCUCUCAAAUGUGUCAGAUAUUCCUGAACAAUAUACAAACAUAAGGUCUGUUUGGUUAGCACGAUUUGCCAAAAAAAAUAUUAUUAAUUUUGAACUACAUUUUUUCAUCUUGUAUACAUUACGCCAUAAAAGUGUUAUAGUGUUAUUUUAAAUAAAUUUUUUUUUCAAAUAAUCUCUUAUCCAAAUAUACGUGAUUGUUGCUAAACACUUGUGCUUAGGUUAUACAUAAAUAAUAUCGAUCCACUAAAUGGAUGUUAAAUCCUGGCCGGUCGAAUUGCCCAACUCGAUGUGAUUUUAGAAAUUGCACAAAUGGAUGGGGUAUAGAAUUAGUUCCGUGGAUGCCAAUCGAUGCUAUACAUACAACUAGGAGGAGAACACCGCGACGAUGCGCGGUGUAAUUUUCAGGCUUGCCCAGAAACAUCCUGUUAUUCAAAUUAAAAUAUUAAUUAUAAAAAGUAAAAUCUUUGCAACGUUUUAAUAAACCAUCAAAAAGUCAGAAAAUUUGAUUUAUUGAUGUCCUUGAUGUCCUUCAAGGAUCAUCAUCAUUACAAAGAACUAAAAAAUAGCUAUAUUACCGGUGGGAAUAAUGUAAAUUACCUAGCAACAAGCACUCCUACCAAACCUGUGUGAAUUCAAUUUUCAUAAAUAUCUCCAUUUUUUGUUUAAACAAUUUUGCUAGAUGGGAUUCCAGUAGCUGGCUCGUGGCCCUUUGAGUAUUUGACCGGUUCAUUCUGUCGUCUCUCAAAGGAUUGCUGCGAGAAGUGGUGGUGCUCCCGUUACUGUCUGUACGACGAUGUUUACGGCUAAGUUCUGGAGGUAAAAUCUGCUUUACUUCGCCUCUUAUGGCUUCGAACUAAAAGCAAGAUUAAUGAAGAAAGUAAGUUCCUUGAUUAUCAAAAUGUCAACGAAAGAAUGAGAUGAAGAAAGUUAAUAACUUUCUCAAACUUGAACUUUUGUGCUAAACACACACUCACGCACACGCACUCUGACAGCUCCAACAUCUUAUAUUCUCAAUUCUCUCUCAUACAAAAUAUGCACAUUGCAAGAGGUCAGAAAUUGAUCACAGCUUAAGAAAACAUUUAUAUGUUAAGAAUCAGAGUUUACAACAGAAAGAUCAUGUUAGAAAAUGAAAGAAAUUACCUCUUGAAGCAGCAGAUCAACAAACAUAUGAACCUCUCUUGGCUCGUUGUGCUAUCAUAAAAGGAGAAGCUCAAAACAUUAGCUAAACUUAUGAAGGGAAUAGAUUUUGAACUAUUCGCUGCAAAAAUUUUACAGAAUUAACUAACCUUAAACCCAGUUUGGUGUUGUAAACCUCGUCCGCAACAUAACUGAUAUCUUUUGAGCUCUUAACCUUACAUACUGAAAGAAAAAAAUAAAGUACUCAAUGGCUACUUUUUACAUCAGAUUCAAAAAUUUAUAUUUACUUCAAGCAAGGAUUCCACUUCCAUCUUCCAUUCUCUUAGGCAAGAUAUGGCCUCAAAGGAUCUGAUUGUGUCCAUAAUCUAGUGAGCUAGGGUAAUAGUCCUCCAAAAUUCACUACACAAAUGUGAAAAGUAGAGUUUUUGCAUGUAGAAACUGAAGUUUUGAAUGAGAACAAGAAAUUUGGCUUCUUUGAAAUAAUAAUAUGAGAUAGAUUUUGAGUCUCGAAUCUAGCGAGCUAGGCUAAUAGCCCUCCAAAUUUCACUACACAAAUGUAACAAUUUUGCACAUAGUAAGUGAAAGUUUUUGAGCAAGAACAAGUAGUGGAAAAGAUGAUCCAAAAAUCCAUACAUGGUCCAAGCACUUCUCCCCAGCUACCCAGAAGGUGCGACAAAUCACUGCAGGGAUGAAAGCAGGGCCAUACUCAUAACCCCGAGCACGACCAGAAGAAAAGGAAGAAGCUAUUUCCUGACACCGUUAAAGAUAGGAUUUUUUAGAAAGUUUUCAGAAUUUAAUGGAGAUUACAUAUUCUCUAGUAGAAUGCAGAAACAAACACAAUAAAAACACAGAACAGAAAGUGACCUCGGUAAUUCUUGGGAUAGCACUUCGCCCAAUGAAAAGAGAUAGUUGAGCGAACAGAAGAACAAUCCCAGGAAGGACCUUUUCUCCUUGCACUCCCUGCGUCAAACUUAGAUCUUGGCUACCUGACUUACUCUUGCCUGAAAGAAAAAGGAAUCACUCAUUGAGUUUUCUGAAGAAUUCUUGAAAUCCUUCUUGUACCUAGUGAAUAGUUAAGUCUCUCAACUUCAAUGAUAGUUCAAGUUUUUCAUCAAGAAGCUGACGGAAAUCCUGAAAUAUGAAAUCCAUGGAAAAGACUGAGAACUAAUCAAGAAGAACAUAACAGGUAAUCUUCCAUUCAACGGAAUCAGUAUCAUGGAUUGCAGAAUAAAGAACGAAGCCUCCUUUGCCACCCAAAAAAGAGAAACAUGUCAAGAAUUAUGCAAAUACGAACUUAUGGGACCUGUUAAGCAACAACAAUUGGUCACUGCCUACACAGUGUAGGACAUCAAUAGACUUCAAGAUGUGGCUUUAUAAUAUUGCAAGCAUAUUCAUUACAAUAAGCAAUUCAUUUAACACAAAUCAACUAAGCAUCAAUACAAAAUAAGUUUGUCUUCCUACAUAUGACAAAAGUUGUUCCUCGUGAUGUAUAAAUCCCUAAACUUGUUAAACUUAAUGAGUUUGAAUCAAUGUAAUCUGGGUAGGAACACAUUACCAGCAUAUGGCAUUCAUAAAAUAGUGAAUUGUAUUUUAUACAGAGAGAAUCCACAUUGUAGCUUUUCUGUUUUGUCCUUAUAAUUGGCAAUUGAUGGCAGGAUUUGUGGUUGUUCAAGCUAGCAGGUGAAGGUAUAUUUACUUAAAAAAUGGAACAACAAAACCUACUCCUCACCCCUACCUACAACACACACACACAAGCACAAAGGGGGAAAACAAAAAGAAAUAGAGAUUCACAAUGAAGUAUAGCAGCACAGGCAUUCAUGAAAACAACCUUGAUCAUUACCCGCCAUCGUCGAAACAACCUAGUUAUUGAUGUCCUACAACACUCUGUAGGCAGUGACAUCAAGAGACUUCAACCUUGUUACACAGUGUAGGGGCAAGCAGAAAAUGUAGAAAAUCAGAGCAUAGGUAUUCUAGAAGACAACCUUGUUUAUUACCCCUCAUCCCUGCCCCUCCUAUUCCUUUUGAUCCCCAUAUUUUAAAAUUUUAUUGAGAGACUUUCAAAGGAAAUAUGACAUGCAAUUUCAGAAGUCCUGGCUUUACCGAAAGCCACAAGCUACCAGCUCUUAUCAGCAAGACAUUCAUACAGCCUUGAAUCUGCUAUACAAAUUUUUCAUACAUUAUUCCCAAAUUUUUAAGCCGUUUUUUAACUGGCUAGGUUGACAUUGCCAACCAAAAUAAAGUUCCAACAAAAGGCAAACUACAAAUUACCUAGGAAAACAACUUAAUUUACUCUCCUUGCCACUACUGAGUUGAUAAACAAAAAGAAAAGUAAAUUAUCAAUAAGGUUGACAAAUAAACAAAAACUAAAAAAACAAAAACAAGACAUAUCUCUAGAAAAAGGGAACAAGUAAAGCUACAAGCCAAACAGCAAAUGUACAAGCAAUAACAUGUCUGAGUUGAAUUCUGCAAAAAAAGAAAUUGAGCUUUAGGUUCUGGCAAUGUAUGAUUCUCAAACAGAGAACUCAAAACAAUUAAAAACGGAGCAAGUAAAACAAGUAAAAGAAAAUAACUUUGGAUCUAAAGGAAAUAGGAUGCCGUCACAAAUUUUCACCCUUCACUUUUGUAAAGACCAAUAACAGGAUAAAGAGAGCAGAAAGUUACAGUAAGUUACAAUGAAAAAAAAUCUUUUCACAAAAAAAAGGGAAAUUAAAACAUAUCGUCAAGGACCAUUCAUUUUUAUUUAACUCUAAAAGUGCAUUUACUUUUUAAACCCCUAUAGGCACACACAAAAGCCUAUUUCUACUUUUUCGGGUUAAAAGAAAACAUUUAGACAAAAAAUUCUGAAACAUAGGAGACAAAAAAUUGGCGGAAUGAAGAAAAAAAGUGUAAAAGUAGGUGCAUUCUAGUCCAGUGAAAGCAAAAAAAUUUCUUAUUCGUAAAAGGUUUAUGGUCAAAUGUAUCACCAUUUCCAAUGUGAUUUCUAACAUCAAAACUUCAACUAUAUUACCCAUUCACUUAUCAUAUCUCAAGUGAUAAGUCUUGCUUCAGAAAACUUCCUGUAUCACCAAAAAAUACACUACCUCGUUUUUCAAAUCAAACAAAAGAACUGGAGUAAUUUUCUACAUGCAUACAAUUGAUUGUUCAAAGCAUAUUUCCAAAGCCAUUCCCUAUUAAUCCUUCGGCAAAAUGUUGUGAAAUAUAAGAUAUUUCAAUCCAAAAAAGUACAAUAAUAAUGUUCUUGAUUAUUUAGAAAAGGGUAUGAAAAAAUGCAAACCUUUUUUGACUUGCUAAACCGUCCAGAACAUUAUCAUCCCCUCCUUCACUGCUCUCCAUAAAAAAAAAAUCCCUAAAUUACAGCAACAGCAAAAAACCCAAAACGAAAACAAAAAAUUGUUUCACCAAAACAUCAUAAAGAGCACAAUACAUUAUAGGGAAGUCAAAUUAUUCCUUCUUAAAGCAAUACGAAAAAACAGAAAAAAAAAAUCUUAGAGAUGAGAGUAAAAGCAUACGAGAAAAAGAAUUUGCUUGAAUCUGGAUUUUAAAGAUAAGGAAAAGUCGUGGAAGACACUUACCUUGAAUCUGUAGUCCAUGUAAAUAUUCAACCUUUUCACCUACAGCACCAUAGAAAGUACAAUCGAGUAUUAGGAAAAAAAAACCCACAAAAAUCACCGAUAAAGAUGACAAUUUCUGAGAAGGAGAUGAAGAAAAGUUUAAAAGGGAAAAAUGAUCUCCAUAUAUAUAUAUAUAUAUAUAUAUAUAUAUAUAUUGCUUUUAUAAUGGUGGAUGAUCCAGUGUACUCAUGAUUCAACUGAUGAGAGGAAGAAAGAAUGGGUAGAUGGCGGUGUAGAAAAAGACUGGAGAGAUGAAGAGAAACUAAGAGGAGGAAAAACAUUUUGACAUUUCUGGGAGAGAAAAUCCCGAAUCUUAUUUUCUUCCCAAAGAAAGGAACAAAGAAAAGAAAAAUGGAAGGGAAGAGAAGCUCUGGAGAUACCCUUUAACUUGUAAGAUAAGAAGAAGCCCAACGUGUGACCUUUGUUUUGUCUUGCACUGUUAUUUAAUGUUCAAUUAAAGAAGAAAGAGAAGAAGUGAAAGACAAAGAAAGGAGAAAGGGAGAAAGAAUCGGAGAAGAAAGGAAGAAAGACGGAGCAGAAGCAAGAGUAUAUGAGCGGCGCAAGUGAAGACCCUCAGAACCCUACCUAUUCAUCAAGGCGUGAAAUCUCAAUUUUAUCCUCAAUUCAAUUCAUCAGCUCAAUCAACGGAGGACUACCAUCAAUCAGCCAAUCACAGCACGCCACGUCAGCAAUUGGGUUCAAUUGGAGGGAUUGGCAUUCACACAUUUACUAUAUAUGUUAAUAAGUUGCAUCCACGUCUAUUUGCAGACGGCUUCGGCUUGGCUGGUCUUGCCCGCACUCAAUUGAGUUCGAUACUACUCGAGAAGAAAGCAAGAUGAGAGAGGCUCAAACCAUCAGCUGUGGAUGUUGAUUAUUGUCUAAUAAGUCCAAUAAAUUAUACGUUAUAUUUUUGGUUCAAGAGAGACUCUUAAGAAAACUUGACGAGUUCGAGAAAUUGCUUAAGAACGUUUUGAUAAUGUUAAUCCUUGUCGAACCCCUAGCAUGUACUAGUCUCUUGUCUGUAGUGUUAUUGGACCCGAAUCGGACCGAUCGGUCUGAUCAAUCUGACCGUGAACCAGUUUUCUUUUUGAAUUCAUUUGUAACAUAAAAUCACAUUGAUAAAAAGUUAGUUAAAACCAUCAAAAUCGAUUAAAUCAAUUAUCCGAUUCGACUGAUUGAUUCGAUUCUCAAACUUUUAUUUCUUGUUUUCCCCAAUAUAAUUUAAAUUACCUAAAUUGUAAAAUUUUGAUUCAUUAAUAGGAAUAAGAAAACGCCACCACUUAAGUUAAACACCACAAUCACUCGUUUCCCUAAAUGAUUUCUAAAUCAAGAAAUUUUCAUCUCUAUAAUCUUAUCAAAGUAGUAUCGGUGAUUCUAAUUUGCAUUAAUUUAUUUUAAUUUAGUUUUUUCAAGUAGUUUUGGAGAAUGGACAUGUGUUUAGUUGUGAAUUUACAUUUUUAUAUAUAAUUUUUAGGUGAAUAUUUGAUUGCAUGUCUAAUAUUUUUGGAACAUUUUGUAUGGUUGUCUGAAUAUAACCAAAAACUUAAUUUCAAUAUUUCUCAAACUUAUAAUACAAAAUAAUUACAAUAUCAUGUUGCCAUCAGCGGAUUUUUGAGAAUGGUCUGAUUGAUCCAAGUAGUUGACCCAUGACCCAAUAGUUUAAUUAAGUCAUUAUUUGGUCCGAAUUUAACAACAUUGCUGGCAUGCUUUCCAACUCCAACAUAAGAAGGUGUUCAGUACAAAAUUAGAGCCAUACACAAAAUUGGCAUAGGAUUGUGCGUCAAAUGGAAUCAUUAACUCACAGCGAAAACAUUUAUAGCUAGUUUGGGAGUUAGGGAUAGAAAAGAAAAGAAGAGAAAGGUUAACUUAUGAGAUAAAAGAAAGGAUAAGAAAAGAAGAGAUGAGAUUUUAAUAUUAUUUGGGAGUUCAUGAAAUAAAGGAUAUGAAUUUGAACACAUUGGUCAAUAAAAAUCUCAUUCGAUAUCUUUUCAAGGAUGGAAUGAGCAAUUUCAAAAUUUUUUGUAGGCUUUCUGCAACUUUCCUUUGCUUUCUACCCGAUUUGGGAUGAAUUUUUUUUAACUGUAGCUGGUCUCUAUUUCCUUCCAAAUCAGUUGUUUUCUUUUCUUUUCUAUUUCACUAAAACUCCCAAACGUUGAAAACAUUUAACUUUCUCUUCCCUUCUUUUUUUUUUUCCUGCUCAAAUCUUAUCUCCCAAACUAGCUAUUAGGCAUGGAAUAAUUCCCAAUCACGAUCAUACGGAGGUUCAUGCUGCAGUUUUAAAACAUUCAGUUUUUACCUUAAUUACGGGAAAUGAAGGAAAUUUUUGUACUGUACUACAUGAAGUAUUCUGUUAGUCCUAACAUAGGUCUACAUGGACUAUACUCUAUACUUCAUUGGCCUUACGAGCCCGUUUGGAUUGUCAUUUUCUGAAAAAUUUUUAUAUAAAAAUAUAUUAUAAUAAUUUGAUGUGUGUGGGAUAAAAAUGUGAUAAAAAAUAUGUUUAUAAAAAAUGUAAAAAAUUUUUUGAAGAAAAAUGGCAAUCCAAGUUUUUGGAAUCAGUCAAGUCUAAGCAUGACUUUUAAGUUAUAUAUAUAUGAAAAAAAAAAAAAAAAAAAACUCUUGGCAUGCCUUUGCGGGUUCAACGUUGACUUCACAUACGGAGUGUUUUGCACGUCUCAAAAGGAGAGUGGGUUUUCUGCAACCUUCAAAUGCUGAUGAAAUAUGAGAAGGACCGCCACGUAGACUCCUCGCCGACAAAAACAAUAUGCGCAACAAAACCCUACUCCAUCAGUUUUAUGCAAACUUCGAUACAUAGACUGACGAAAUUGUCCUUUUAUAAAAUUUAUCAUCCAGUAUGCAAAUCAAUUUUUUUUCUUCAUGCUGUUUUAAAUGAAAAAAAUAACCUUGCAUUUUUUGUCCUAUGAGAAGGCUUAGGCCUUGUCUAGAUUGCACUUUUUUAGGGAAAAUUUUUUUUUUUUUUUAUAAAUAUAUUUUUCAGUCAUUCUUUUCUUUUAUAUAUAUAUAUCAAAUAUUCUCUAUAAAAAAUUUUAAAAAUAGCAAUUCAAACAAAACUUUCAUUAACGUUAAGAAUAUUAAAAAUGGUUGCUUUUCUCAACUAUCCCACUCUAGCAAAUAAAAUUGUUUUUGUCCUUGGACAAAAUAAUACGAGUUUUAAAGUGCACAUUUGGUUAAUUUUUGCUGUAAUCACUUCUUUUCCACUUUUAAGUUAAUGAUGAAAUGUCUUAUUCUUCUCUUUGUGGUUAACAAAUUGAACUAUUUUAUUCAACAAUACAUGGGGUGAACAAAAUGCCUAAAUAUUAACUAAUAAAACAAAGACAGAUAGAACUAGAAUAAAGAGAACAAUGAUGUAAUUGUCAUACAUGAUUUUAUUGGUUUACAAGUAACAAUAAAGAGAAUAAAAUUGAAAAUUUAUGUAUAAAAUCUAAGCUUGAAAACUCUCCAAAAAAAAAAGUUACAAAAUAUUCUAAAGAAUUAUUACACCUUUGCCUAUUGUUCUUUUCUUCUAAAUUGUUCUAAUUAUUAUAUGUAAGUUCAAUUAAUACCUCCUCCUGUUUACACUCAUGGCAUAGCCACAAAAAUCAACCUAAAACCAAAAUUAAUUAAAAAAUAUAAUGCCAACAUCCCAAUGUCAACUAGGGUUGUAAACGAACCGAGUCGCUCGCAAUCCGCUCGAAUCAAAGGAUCGAAUUCGAGUCGAGUUUGAGCUGGCGAAAUCGAAAUCGAGCUCGAGUUUGAGUUAAAAAUAUUAAGCUUGUUAACUCGAGAGUUCGAGUAUAUAUACAUAUAUUAUUUUUUAUUUUAAUAGUAAAAUUACAUAUAUAUUCAUAAUAUUUUAUUAUUUAUUAAAAAAUAUAAUUAUUUGUUAUUUUUAUUAGAUUUAUUUCUAGAAACUCGAGCUAACGAGCUGCUCACGAGUCAGAAAUUCGAGCUACAUUAAGAGCUGAUAAUUCGAGUUGCUUGCGAGUCAAAAAUCGAGCUACAGCUCGCGAGCCUAACUUUUCCUUGGUUGAGUCGAACUCGAAUUCGAACUCAAGUCCACCUGUUAUUAAGUUGAGGUAGACUCGAUAAGUCCAAAAUUUGAUUCGACUCAGCUCGUUUGCCCCUAUCAACCAAGGACUAAGGACGGAAGAGAGAAAAGGAAAGAAGAUGGGCAAUUUGGUACUGUGAAACUACACCAUACGUGUCAUCCAUGUAUUGUACUCCAGUUUACACCCUCCACAGCAUCAACUUACAUCAUCCUCAAUCCUCAUCAUCCCCAAUCUUCGUCAUCUCAUCUCAUCACAUCAGCAUAGAGUUACGAAAUACUCAUAAUAAUAAUAAUAAUAAUUCAUAUUUUUCUCCCAAAUUUGAGAAGUCAUCUCUCCAAACUCUCUUCUAAACCUUCUUCUUUAAGUUCUCUCUCUAUUUCUUUCUCUCUAAUUAAUGACUCUGAUCAGAUCCAAACAUUUGCUAUUACGACUUUCCCCCAAUUUCCAUUCCCAUUCCCAUUUCUCCCUCAAAAUUCACAUUUUAAUCACAAAAUCAGCACUAAAAAUCUAUUGAUAUAUUAUACAUAUAGAUAUCUGUACAUACAGUUCUAUCUGUAUAUAUUUCAAUUUGUGUGUGUGAGAGAGAGAGAGCAGUAGAAAAGAGCAAUGGGAGGAGUUCCUUCGACACCGCGGUGGGGCGGUGCGGCGGAGAUGAGACCGGCGGAAACGGCGGAGUACCUGAUUGGAGCAUUGGUUGGAGAGAAGUCGUAUCCGCUUGCCUCUGAUUACUGGCAGAAGCUUCUCGAGUCUCCUCUCCAUCUCCGUUGGCCUGCUCAUCGUGUUCUUCAAGCUUCUCAACUCUUCGGUUAGUUUAAAGCUCAAGUUCUCUCUCUUUCGUUAUUAUGUUUUAUUAUUAUUUUAGUUUUUCUUUAUUCCUUAAUUUGAUUCUGAUUGAUUUAGCUUCAUAGCUGCAUUGUGAAAUUUAGGUUGGAGAACUGUAACAAACCAGUUUCUAUUUUGUUCAAGUGUUUAAAUUAUGCAAUUUUGCUAAGUUUUGUGCCUUAAUCGUAGUUUUGAAGUUCCUGUUAACUAGUUUCAUGCUUACUUUAGUUUAGGGUGCUUUAAAAUCCAAUUUUUAUGGAUUUCUGCUAUAGGAUUACCACAAAAAAUGUUGAUUGAGGGAUAAUUGCGUGCAUUUUUAACUAAGCUAGUAUUUGAAGAUGUUUUGCUUGGGAACAAGCAUUGAUGUAUGGUAGUAUUAGGUUGAUGGGUGCUGCAAAUUAUGCAUGUGAAGAAAUAUUUGAUAGGUUAGCGUGUUAUGGCUUGAAGACUAAUUAUCGUAUGUGUUCUUCAGUAAUUAAUUGUGCUAUUUCAGGGGGACACGUGGAGGUAAUGUACGUUCUUGAGUAAUGCUUAGUGCUCUUAUGCUAUUACACGUGGCAAUGGAAAUGAUCGGUAUACUUAUCUAUACAGUGCUUGUUGAGGGUAACAUGGUAUGGGAUAGAGUUUCUAGUUGAAGAGAGUUUUGAAGGAUUAUAUUGUAUGUAUGACGACUUAUGCCACUUUUAGAACCUUGUGCGUCUCCAUAUACAUCAUGCUGCAUUCACAUUAUUUUGAAUGCCAUAAAUGCAUGUGGUUAGUUUUACUUGGAGGUGUAAAAUGUGGAAAGUGUUGCCAACGUUGUUUAGCUGUGCCUCUUUAAAACCUUUUGGAUGUUUUCUGAAGUUAAAGAGCUACUUGCAUUGGCCUAUUUGGUAGUGCCUAAUCAGAUUGUGGUUGUUUCUAGCUGGGCUGCAUGUUUAGUAACUUUUAGAUAAGGCACUUUUUGUACGACAUUCACUAAAAUAACUUAUGAAUGGCAUUUAUUAACAAUCAGAGACCUGAGCAAAUAUCAUCUUCCGUCUUUGCUAACAUCAAGGAUUGUUUUAUAUCGCUAGGCCAUUGUCAUUUGAUGCUGCAGCUGUUAUGUUAACCAACUUGAUGUUAGUUUAGGAAAUUCUGCAAGCUGUCAUACAUUAAUUGAUUUUCCAGUGUGCCUGCCUUUGGUAACUAAUUAUGCAUUUGGUCUCCAAGUUUUUAGUAAACUAACUGAAAAUGAUAGUUUAUUCUUGGACCUUAAUCAACUUCUGAGCCAUUUAUUUUGCUUGCUUUUUCCCAUCUUGCCCCACCCAAAGAAAGGAACAAACAAAAUUGAUGAUGAGGGCUCUGUGAUCUCUAUCCCUAAUUAUGUGGCUUUCAAAGGAAGAUUUACGAACUUUCCUAUUUCUCGAUGUUGUUUAAGAUACAUUUAAAAUCAUUAAACUAGCUUGCGUGAAAGGUAAGAAGAGGACUGAGUGAUAUAAUUUUUGGCUAAUGAAGGAAUUUCAGUUUUACAUCUGGUUUGAAUCUGUUUUGAGUGAGGUGGCCCAUCAUCUUUAACUUUUAUUUUGCUGUGAUAGUUUUGCUGAUCGGCAAUCUUUGUCUGAGCUUCUGUUGAUUUCUGCAGCUCAGAACAACUGUAAAACAAGACACCUUGCCAAGAUUUUAGUCCACCUAGCAUGGUGUUUGCAAGAAUGUGUGUCUGCUUCUGGUGUGCCCUCAGCAGCUCUUGUUAGAGCUCUUAAUGCAUUAUACAUCUCCUCUGUGUUCCUGAAGUACUUCAUUGAGAAUGCCAAAAGUGACCACUUUGAAGAAUUGCACCUAUCUCUAGAUGAAAAUGAGGCCAAACCAACUAGCUUCUCAAAAGGUGAUCCAUUUGUGCCAUUUUGUUCUUAUUUUGAUUGUGACUAUUACUUAUAUUUUGUGCCUUUAGUUGAUCCACCUUCCCUACUCUCCUGUCUGACAAUCCAACCCUUUUUUCUAAAGGAGGAGGUCCAGGUAGAUUCCAAGUGAAGAUAGUUUAUGGAAUUU
RNAcentral lists this long non-coding RNA (55275 nucleotides) under Coffea arabica (coffee). RNAcentral's name for it is "long non-coding RNA (CARA_LNC002086)". The record is from RNAcentral. Lineage: Eukaryota; Viridiplantae; Streptophyta; Magnoliopsida; Gentianales; Rubiaceae.